GUGAAUCAGCUGGAAGAAUCUACCCAGGUCUACUAGAGUAUACACAGCCACUUGGCCAUCGAUCGAUGUGGCCAGAUUGUAGCCCACGGUACACCACUAGGACCUGCAUUUAUCUACGCAAUAAACAUGCGUAUGUAUACGUACGUAAGCACGAAAUGCAGCAGAAAUGCAGACUAUUAGUACUACUCGCACAUUCAUGCUGAAUUGCUGAAGCAUCAACCCUAGCUAGCGGCCGGGUCUUAGUUUUUUGUCUUCACGUGAUCAAGUCAUACACCACGGGAAGAGUUUGGCUGUCACCCACCGUCCCUUUCGCAGGUGACAUUGUAGAGACUUUGCUGUUGCUGUAUGCUGCGACCUACGAGAAAUGAAACGACGAUACUGUUUAUGAAUCUUCCAAAAGCUCAAGGGCACGCAUGCAAAACGCCAACGUUUGGAAGACCCAGGAAAACGACCUAACCACAGUAGGCAAUGCAACUAUGCAAGCUUCGAGAUCCGAGCAUAAAACAUUGGGUUGACUUGCCAUAACAGCCGGUCAGCAACCAUCCACAUGCAUGCUAGAGAUUGUGCAAAAACCCCUAUCUGCGUUUAGCACUAGUUAAUAUGUUUCUCAAGCAAGGCAAAAAGAUUGUCUUGCCGGUGCAUGUUUGAUUGUUUUCCAUGAUUCGGCGAUCGACCAUACUAACGCGGGAGAGAGAGUUAAAAAAUGAGAAUCAGAUGGGCAGAAACAACACGGCAGGGGCUGGACCUGCUGCAUGUGGCCACUACGGGCCCUGCAUUGGCCAGCACGCAGCGAGGCAGCAGCUACGGCGUCAGCGAGAGCCGCAGGGAAAGAUAGAAAAAAAGAAAACGAUUAGCUGCGGCGCUGGGUCGCUGGCCACCGGAAAGGAGCAGCUGCUUCUUGCAUUGCUCGCGUCUCCACUUUCCACACGCAGCCGCGUGCCGGUGAUCCUGUCGAUGGAUCGAUCGGUCCCCCAAGUCAGACAGGCUGCCUCUCUGGUGUUUUUGUUCCUGUGCUUGUGUCCUUUGCGCUCUCUCUCUCUCUCUCUCUCUCUCUCUCUGUCUCUCUGCCCAAUACUGUGCAUCUGUGUGGCUGUUGAGCCAAAUGACUUUAACCAGAAGCUAGCUCGUCUACCGCAUGGUUUGCACAUUUCCUGUGUGACCAAGUGGGAAACUUCCAGGAAGGUAUGGGUGGGGGCUAGGCUUGGGGAUUGAGGCAGAACGCCGAUCUCAAAAGACAGCUUUGGUUCAGGGUUUCAGGGCAUGGAGUGCAACAAAAGCUCUUAUCACCUGCGUACAUCUAUCUAACAUGAAUGCUUACUGGGGCUGAGCAGUUUAGCAGCCUCGCUGCUGUGAUACGUACAGUACUGCAUACCCAUAACUAACUGAUGGUACUUCAUGAUGUAAGAAGUGUAGUAGUAGGAGUAUAAUAUGGCUAACUACAGUAAAUCAAUGGUGUGCACAGCAAUAUUGAUUAAUUGAAUGGUGUUGGUGUAAGUAAGUUGAUAUCGGCAUUGCUUGGUGUUUAGGUCUAGGGACUUAACUUUAGUCUCUAUAUUUAGACACUAAUUUAGAGUAUUAAAUAUAUAUUACUUACAAAACUAAUUGCAUAAAUGAAAGCUAAUUUGCGAGACAAAUUUUUUAAGCCUAAUUAAUCUAUAAUUAGAGAAUGUUUACUGUAGCAUCAUAUAGGCUAAUCAUGGAUUAAUUAGGCUCAAUAGAUUCGUCUCACGAAUUAGUCCAAGAUUAUGGAUGGGUUUUAUUAAGUCUAUGUUUAAUAUAUAUAAUUAGUGUUCAAACAUUCGAUAUGAUAGGUACUUAAAAGUUAGACCCGUAUAAACAGGAUCUAGUGGUAUAAUGUCCUGUGCUAGUGUGUAGAAAUGGAGUGUACAUGCACGUCGUGAUUUAAGGACACUUUAACGCUAUGCAGCGUAUAUGCAUGCUUAUGCCUUCUUAAGAUGAUUUGACACUUGACCACGAACGAUUGAACCGUUGCUGUGGUUGGUAAUCCAUUUUAAUUAUCCUUCAUUAAUUAUAUAUAUUCGUUUAAUUCUUAUGAUUUUUUUGGAAUUUUAAAAUUAUUUAUAUUUUGGGAUGGAGGGAAUAUAAGUAAAAAAGAUUCUAAAUUUUCUUUCAAACAAUGCACUAUUAGUAGUAUCAACAAUUUACUCAUGAACAAAUAUACAGUAUACUCUAGGCCUACAGUUUGCUCGAGUGGGUGUCGUGUCGGUUGUUCGUGUUACCUCGCUCGUCAAUAUUGUCCAUUGGCCAUUGGGACAUCACUCAUCACUGGUCUCUCCUCGCUCCCACUUACUAUUUCCCGUCCUUAAACAUAAAUGUAAAUGAUUUUAGUGUUAAUAAACUUUAUCCACAAAUAUAAGAGAUUUUGUAAUAUAAUUUUUUAAUAUGUUUCACCAUUACUUUGUGAGUCUCACUCCGAUGCUCUCUACUAGUAGUAGAAAACAAUCUGAACCGUUAAUUUUAUUAGAUUAAAGAAUUCAGAUAUAUUAUACUACCAUUCUAGUUAGCGAUAGUAGAAACGCGAAGCAACAUUACUGUAGAAAAUUAGACGCCUCAUCGGUUGCCCAUAUUCCCUAACAAGCCACUUAUUAGGGAAUAAAAACAAUUUAUAAGUAAAACUUUUGUACAUUUGUUGAUUUAAAAGCCAAUGGUAAAAGAAAUUAUGUUGAAAAUAUCUCAAAAUCAACAAAAUCAAGUUCGACAAUUUAAAUUUUGACUUUUGCUUUGAUUUAUUAGACCAACCAGUGAGGCUCUAGGUGCGAAGGGGUAUAACCGUUAUUUAGCCGUAACUAAACCUUUGUUUCUUUGAGCGAUACCAACAUAAUAGAUGACUACAUGUUGAUCUAAUAAAAAAACAUAAACGACAAAAUUAGCCCUAACCAAUAUAUUAGUAAAUUACUAAUUUACCCUUAAUGAUAAAUAGUUCGGAUUAUUUCUGCUCGUUGUAUAAUGUUAAGUAAAAAGCACCGGAUUGUAUUGUUAUACGUGAUGUUCAAGUCUUUAAAUAUCAAAAUAAUUUUAAUAUCAUAAGAUUUGUUAUAAAUAAUCUAAAAUGGUUAUAAAUAAUCUAAAAUCCCAUAUAUUCGUGGAGUACUAUCAAGCGAGCCAUCGCCAUUCGCCAGCAAAAUUCGGUGGCCAGGCGAGAAGAGCUACUACGACUUUUCGCGACUCCCUUGCUUGGCUUGUCCCCAUGUUGCCGCCGAGUGCAGAUUAGAACAGGAACAAUAGCAGGCUAGAACCUAGCCGUAAACAUAUUUUAAGAAAAUAAAUGAGAGAGAAAAGCAGCGGACUAUAUAUUUGUAGUCAGCUGUAGCACGGACUUCAAGAUACAGUGUGUAUGACAGGUGAGACCAGAUAUUAGUAGUGUAGUAUGUAACUAUUGUAUGAAUGAGCUAUUAGAUUAGCUAUAGAUGAAUUGGAGCCCGUAGUUGGCUAUAUAUACUAUUAAACUUGCUCUUAGAGCAGGUACAAUAGCAGGCUAUUAGCCAGCUAUAAACAUAUUUUAAUGAUAUAAACGACGAGAGAGAAGAGCAGCGGUCUACAGAUCUGUAGCCAGCUGCAGCACAGACUCUAAGACACACUAUAUGACAGGUGGGACUAUAUAUUAAUAGUACAGUAAACAACAACUGUAUAAAUUAGUUAUUAGAUUGACUAUAAAUGAAUUGGAGCUAUUAGUGGGCUGACUUAGCUCUUAUUGUUGCUCAGGUCGGAGGCCCCCCUGAUCUCCUCAAGAGCCGUGCCUGCCAGCAACUCUCUUUCUUUCACACACACUAUAAUUUCUCUCUCUCUCUCUCUCUCCGUACGUGGCGACGUUGGAGUCUACUACCUGUUGGUGACUAGGGCCUGACCCAUCAAUCACCAGUGGAUCACCUCGCAUCCGUACGUCGUCGUCGCUGAUAUUGCAAGCUCGUAGUAGCAGCAUCUCCAUCUCAUCUCCCGUAGAUUUUGCACGGACCGAUCAGGACCGAUCAGUGCAACAGUACUAGAGAGAGGCGUAUCAUUGCCGGCCUCCUGCUCCAAGCUAUAGUACCCGAUCUGAUACUACUCCUACUACUACAAGUCUCCACCAAUUAUUCUUCCAGAAACCCCAGCGCCGUGUUCCAAUCAAAGAUUCCACCGGCUGCCUGGACGCCGUUUUCGCCUGGCCGGGAGGGCCGGUCGUCGAAACAACGUUGAUUCCGCUGGGUUUUCGUUUUCGCCCAGGCCGGCCGGGUCGUCGUCAAGACAACAUUAAACGGUGCGGUUUAAUGUCGUGACAUGAUGGGUUCUCGUCAGUCUCCUCGUGACAUGAUGGUGUGUGCAUAUGCCGCAUCAGCGCAGCAGCUUGAUUCCAAUGGCCGUAUCAAUUCGAGAUCGAUCACAGCAAGAUUCAGAUAUGGCCGGUACCAUUGCCAACAAUCCUACCUCAGGCUGAGCUGGAGGUAGCUGCUAGCCUGCUAGUGGUAGUGUACUCACUACCAUGGCUAGUUACUCCUAGUAUCAAGCAUGAUAUACUGGCACUCUGAUCACCUCUCGACGUCAAUGUGUUGCACAUGCCAAAAGAUCACGCCUUGCAUGCACAGCUGAUUAAACUAAUCAAGGCACGAACAGGCACCUAACCGGGCUCAUCUGGAUAGCUAGAGACCACCACCCACCAUACCAUACCAUUCCUUCCCCCCAGCUUGCGAUUUGUUGCAAUGCGGCGCCAGGACCAGCAAAAGCAUGCGCGAUAAGCUUAGAUGCCGUGGGAACAGAGCAGUAGUACUUGCAACGCGUUGCUUUUGUUCAUUUCCAGAUCUCUCUCUCUCUCUCUCACUCUCUCUCUCCUUUUCUUUUAAAUUUUCUUUUUUAUCUUCUCUAUUGGCGAGCAUAUCCCUGCAAAAGUCACUGUUUCCGGCUUCCCACCUGUUGCUGAUAAGUUUAGCAUAUCAUGUCUACAGCUACGUGUGUCAGUGUGUGCAAUUUGUGCAUGCAUACCGCCAUGGGCGCGCCCAUCAGAUAGCUCCAGGCCACCACGAGCUUUCCCUUUCCAAUCAAACAACAAACAUAGGGCACCCCCCGGGACAUGCAUGCACCUGGGGCAAAGGUGCAGGUAGAGAGAGAGAUCAUCGGUCUCGGCACACAACACGUCACGUCUCGCGGACUGCACAAACGCAUCAGAGAAGCUAAAGGAGAAAAAGAAGCUGCAGAUGGGGAAAUAUCUCCAUUGGUUGUGGUUAAUUGACAUUUGACAGAUAUGAUGAUGGAUAAUUUCAAAUGUUUCUUCUUCUUCUUGUGUGUCAGUUGGUCUAGCCUUCUAGGGCUAUGCUUCAUUAGUGUACACUUGGGAUGAAAAGAUUUACAGCAAAGCAAGCAAGAACAUGGGCGAAUAAAUUAACAAAAAAAACCAAGUGAGAUUAGUAGAUAGGAUCAACAAGGGACUAAGCUAGCUACCACCUGAAUUAUGAUGCAUGGGAGCAAAAAAGACACUAGCUAGAGAAGAUCGAGCUAAUAGUGCUAACUCUAUACUAGUGCCAGCUCUAUGCAUUGCUUCUUGAACGCCGCCGCUUGUGGAGGCGUCGUCGCCGCCAAGUCCCUGGCUCUCUUGCACCCGGCCAUCUGUUCGACCGGCGCCGGCGCCGUGAGCAGGUCCACGCCGAAGAGCCUGACGGCCUUCACCGGCGACGGCGCUGGCUGAUCAGCGGGCGACGCGAGGGCGGCGCCGGUCGACCGUACUAACUUGCAGUCGAUGAAGAGCUUGCCGUCGUCGCCGGCACUGGCGGCGGAGCGGUAGAAGCCGACGACGUCGCCGGCGUGGAGACCCUUCUCCUUGACGAAGCGGCUCCAGCCCUUGGUUAGCACGUAGCUCUGGCUGCUGUUCCAGUACGAGUACCGGAACCGCCACACCUUGCCGGCGGCGUCCUCGAAGUUGAGGAGGACACCCUUGCUCUCGCCGCCGGCGGACGGGAGCUGUAGCGGGAAGUGCUUCUCGGCGUGCUGCUUCGGUAUGACGAGCCUGUUCAGCUUGCCCACGUCGCUCGGGGUGACCGUCUUGUCGAACAGGUGGUCGCGCGCCGCGGCGGGCGCGAAGGGGGAGCGGGGCGACGAGAGGUGGCCGUUGGAGAGGGAGGCGGUGGUGGUCGCGGCCGACGGCGUGGAGGCGGCGAAGGUGCGCUUGCUCUGCGCGAGCUCGUCGAAGUAGGUGUGCUUGCGGAGCAUGUCGACGACCUCGGCCUUGGAGCGCGUGGCGAGGAAGCGAAGCUCGGCGGCGGCGUCCGGGUCGGCCUCGGCGAGCGGGCGGAAGUUGGUGACGGCGUCGCGGCCGCGGAAGCGCUGCGCGGCGACGUCGUAGGCGCGCGCGGCGUCGUCCUCCCCGGCGAACGUGCCGAGCCACACCCGCUGGUGCCGCUCGUAGAUCUGCGCGCCCCACCUCCCGUUGGGCUGCGGCACGACGCCCUUGAACUUGGACGACGGCAGCUUCCCUCCCGCACCGCCGGCACCGCCGCCGCCGCCGCCGCACACACGUCCCCCGGACCCGGAGUCCGCCUCCGCGCCAGGCUCGGCCGCGUCCACCACCGCGCUCGCCCCGCUCCCCAUGCGCUCCAGCGGCGCCGUCUCCGCCGCCGCGGCGGCCAACGCCCUCAGCUUGUCCGUGGACGAGCCGCCGCUGUUGGUAUCAUCCACCAGGCAGCUGGAGCUGUCCAUUUCAGUAGACCUCACACACUAGCACACUCCUACUCUCCUCUACCCCAGUACGGACGGAUGCAACUCAACUCGACUCGAACUAUCUCUUGCUUCCUUCUGUUGGCGAUGCUAUAGGCGGCAAGCGUAGGAUAAGUAGGAGAGGAGGGAGACGAAGGGGGAGGAGGGAUAUAUAGGAGCGGUGGGUGGGGGGUGUGGGUGGGUGGUUUGGCUUGCGAUAGAUGCCGGAAUGUGUUUGUGUAUGGGGGCAAUGGGGGCUACCAUACUGCGCCCCCUAUACGGCUAUACCAUGUCCGCGUGGAGGGAAGGAGGAGGAAGCUGAUGGUUUGCUAUACUACUUUUGUUCUGGUGUGUGUGUGUGUGUGUUUUUUAUCUUUUCCUCUUUUCGGUGGCUGGAACCGUAUAAAAAAUGCCCUGCUGUUGUGUUGGACUUUGGAUAGAACGACGUCACGGCACAGGGGAGAUGAGGGAGGGAGUGGCAAGUGUUGGUUUGUGGGGGCAGUCAGCUCAGCCCAUGGAUACCGCGGGAUGGCUUCAUCGAGAGCUGGUAGCUGGAUAAAGAUGGAGGAUAGAUUGUUCUUGUUGCUCUGGUGAUGUGAGCUGGCUUGGCCUGGAAAAUGUGCCCUUGGGGGCAGCUCGCCAUGUCACACUUGGCCCCUUUCUGUGUUCUUUUUUCUUCUUCUUUUUAUUGGGUUUGCUUUGGCAGUUGCUUUGAUCAAAGCAAUGGCUGCAUUAGUGUUGCUUAAAUAUCCAUGGUUUAUUCUGUUCGGGUGGAUAUAUAUUGCGUGUGAUGACCUGUGCAUUGUGGAGUGUUCUGUUGUGCCAUGCAUGGACUAGUAUGCGUCUUUUCUGGAAAUUUUGGAGGAAUCAGGUGGGAUAUUGCGUCAACAGGGGAAUUCUUUGGUCCUAGUGAGUGUGAUAGAAACAAGGAACUGGAAAGUGGAAACACCAUGUAAAAGUAUACUGGGACAUGUUUUGUACCAUAUGACAGAAAGAAAAGUAUAGCUUUAUUACAUGAUGCCAAAAGAACUGAGGCACAAAUUUAGCGUGGAAAAACUUUUGGAAAGUAAAAACCAUGAACACAAAUAUACAAUUAAUUGAAAUCAGUUAUGCGUAUGGUGACCAAGGUAGCAAUGGUGUAUGUAGUAAUAAAUCAUGAAAAAGAUGAUGCCCUAGUGCUAUCUUUGGUUUCAAAUAUACUUUGUCCCCAUAUAUAUAAAGAUUAUAUUAUGCAAAAAACCUUCAUAUAGUUAGAUUUUUAAAAAUAUAAAUAGGCCCACAUCUAGAUAAGUGCAAGGUAAAGAGAUGGCAUAGGCCUCCAAAAACUAGGGCCCCUAAAAUUUGUGUUUCAAUCAAUGCUAAUAUAACAUUAAAGGGUUCUGAUCCAUUAUUUCAAGUUCCACUCUUUCUCCUUCACUCAGAGCCCCAUCAGUUAGCCUAAUACGCCAAAGCAAAAGUCAAGAUUUGAAUUUUGAACUUCAUUUUAAAGUUGAUUUUAAGAUAUUUUCAACGUAAUUUAUUUUUAGUAUUGUCUUUUAAUUUGCUGCAAAUAAAGAUGUUUUGGUUUAUUAUGAAAUAUGAGCAACUAAUGAGGCUCUCAUUCGGUUGGAAAAUGUCUUACUUUCCUUAGCUCCGACUUUGAUGAUAUCAUCUCAAAAUUGUAUCCAUAAUGGUAAUAUAAACGUGCGUUGCCAGCACUGGAGAUUUUAUUUUUCCACUUGUAAAUAAAACUAAAAUGUUCAUCAUGAUGCAGUUCUUGGUUCACGCACUUGGUCAGAGCGCCAUCGCCAUUAUCUGAGCGUCCAGCCAUUGUUGUACGUCCGUGCACGAUUCCUACAUGCAUCUUCAGUAGCAGUGCAUAAUAUAGCUAGAGAGAGAAGCACGUUAGAUUUGAUUGCUAACUCUGCUGUUAUGGAUAUAACCACAAACGACAACAACGCGGACUCAACAAAGAGCAAUGGGGAUGGAGCUCCUCUAUGUUAUCUUGAUACGGGGAUAUGGAUACGCGAUACGGAGAUACGAGGAUACGGCAUUUCCUAGAAAACACUGAUACGGGGAUACGUUUAUAUAUAUUUAAAAAAUAAAAAAUAUAGAAAGAAAACAUAAAUAACUGCAAGAGUAUAAAUAGAGAAAAAAGAGAUAGCAUUACAGGGCAUGAACUAGUCAGGAUAUCAAGUUCAACUGUCAAUAGGUAAAUAAGUUUAAUUGGUGUUUGUAUCAUUGAUAGUGCCAUAUCAUCGAACAGGUCCAAUGCACCAAAAAUCUUUUAGCACUCUGACAGGAGAUCAGGCCCAUCAGGUAGCUCUCCCAUAGAUAAUGUGCUAUACGUAGGAGUUCUAGUCUUCUAGAGAAGCAGUUGAGCCCGUCGUCGGAGGCUGGGGUUGACAGUCGGCAGCCCGACGAAGGAGUUGCUGCGCCCUGGAGGCUGCGGCCGGCGGCGCUCGGCGCUGUGGCCGGGGGCGGAGGGCGACGGCGGCGCGGCGCAGCGGAAGGGGAUGGCGGUGCGGCACGGCGGCGGAGGGCGGCGGUGCUGUGCGGCGUUGCGGCGGCGGAGGGCGGCGGUGCUGCACGGCGUGGCGGCGGCGGCGCUGCGCUAUGACGCGAGGAAGAGGCGAGCAGAGUUGGGGUCGGGGAGGUGGCGCUGUUGGUGGGUUUUUGCUCGCUGUGUGUUGGCUGGGGAUUUUGAUCGAUGAUUUUAGGGUUACAGCGUAUCGGAGAAGUAUCGGAAAUAUUUUUUAUUAUCUGAAAAUCGUAAAAAUGGCCGAUACGUAUGGGAUACGUAUCGGGGCGUAUGCAAUACGUAUCCGUAUCUGUAGCCGUAUCCAAUAUGGAUACGUGGCCUAGGAGGAGUAUCCGGUAACGUAGGAGCUCCUUCCCAACGAAUUGCAAGGUUCCUAGCGUCGAUGGAAAAAACGAGUCAACCUACUCAAUUGUGCAACUUUGGCCAAUAACAUAGCGUAAAGUGAAAUUUACUCCUUUAUUUAUUGAUAUUUUUUAAAUACAUGUUUUCAUUGUUCCUUGGCGCUAGAUAUAAGAUGAAGAAUAACAACAAUAAAAUACAUUCAUUGGAGAUUAUCGAUGGCCUACAUUGAAAGGGAAGAAAAAUGAUACUUCAUCUGUUUCAUAUUAUAAGACUUUAUAGUAUUAUCUAUAUUUAUAUAUAUAUAUAUAUAUAUAAAAUAAUAAUAAUGAAUCUAGACAUAUAUGUGUAUAUAUAUUUAUUAAUAUUUAUAUGAAUAUAAGCAAUGCUAGAAAGUCUUAUAACUUGAAAUAGAGGUAGUACCAUUUUAGCAUUUGUAUUGUCAAACUUCAACAACCCGGAGGCCAGCUGAGCUGCAGAAAUAUUUGAAUUUCUCGUGUUAAAACGAUAUAGAUUAACCUAGCUACCAACAAAAGGUACUCCCUCCGUCCCACAGUAUAAGGUAUUUUGAGUUUUCGAUUGCAACGUUUGACCACUCGUCUUAUUUAAUUUUUUUUUUGCAAAUAUAAAAAACAAAAAGUUGUGCUUAAAGUACUGUAGAUAAUAAAGUAAGUCACAAAUAAAAUAAAUAAUAUUUUUUUAAAAAAAAUAAAUAAGACGAGUGGUCAAACGUUGCAAGCAAAAAUUCAAAAUCCCAUAUAUUAUGGGACGGAGGAGGUACUAACUACGAUAAAAACGUACUCUAGAUGCGUACUUCCUCCGUUUCACAAUGUAAGUCAUUCUAGUAUUUUUCACAUUCAUAUUAAUGCUAAUAAAUAUAAACAUAUAUAUUUAUAUAUGUCUAGAUUUAUUAACAUCAAUAUAAAUAUGGAAAAUGCUAAAAUAAUUUAUAUUGUAAAACGGAGGGAGUAACAAACUAUCAUAUGCUCUACGCGCACACAUCUUGUUGGUGGCAUACCCAAUCCCUAGUGGAGUGUGGAAUGCAUUAAUUUGUUCACUGAACUACGCCGCGUAUAUAUGUAAUCGUAAUGAAGAUUAGUGGGAAACAACACAAAGUCUAGACCUUGACACCGGGGAUGGACAUUAAUCUCACCCCUUGACGUACGACCACUACAAAUUAGUAAGAGGUAACGGUCAAGGCACAUGUUAGAUCGAUAUAGUGUUUAUAUCCUCAACGACAGGUAAAAAUGAAAUGAUGUGCGAAACAACGAGAACUAAACGUUGCGGUUUACUGGAACUAUUAUAAAAACGAUAUUUCUUUUACUAUCGAGAUCACGUACGAAAAUAAGUCUAUUUUUUAGACAGACUUAUUAAGAGAUUGUAUGAAAAAUUAAAUAGAUUUUUUCAUGCCGGCAACUUGGAGCAGCAAGCAAGUGGGCCCUACGCAUCCCCGCACUAUUUUUUCUCCCACACCUUUUUUUUUCUCCUCCUUAUCUCCACCGUAUCACUCUUUUUUUUCUCUCUUCUUCUCCAAAACCGCUUCUCUUCGCCUUCCUCUCCCACUCCACCUCAUCUCUUCCCCUUCUCUUUACCCCAUCUCUUCUCCACCUCCAACGGCUGAGACAGAGGUGACGACCUCGCAGGUGGGCGCCGCCAGUGAGCGACGAAGGCGGUCUCGGGUGCGGGCGGUGCUGACGCGCGGAUCCAGCUGCACCCGUCCGAGAGAGCGGCGAUGGUGGCCUUAGCGGAGGCGGAGGCAGCCUUGGGGGUGAGGGGAUCUGACUCCCCCGUCCUCGGGAGCGGUGGUGGUGUGCGGAUCCGGCUGCCCCCACCCUUAGAAGUGGCACCGUGGGUUGCGGCGGUGGCCGCUGCAACGACGAUGAGGAGCUAGGGUUUCGGUAGAAUGGAAAUCUUGGAUUUAUGCUAAAUUUCUUUUGGGGAAUUUUAUUUUAUUUUAUUUUUCUCUAAAACUAUUUUUGUAUGUGGUUGAUAUAGGUUACCGCAUAUAAAAAUCAUGUUUUUCACAUGCGGUUGGGCUCUACGUAUGAAAAAAGAUGAUUUUCGUAGACCUGUGGGUCCAGGCGGGUCGCUGAGCCGCAUGAAAAAAACGAUUUUGGUUGCCCCCUCCAGUGCUGCACCCUUGCACGUCGAUCGGUUCUAUCUUAAACAAACCGGUCGAUCCGCGUCGAAGAGAUAACGUUCGCGAUGGUGAGUACUGAGUAGUGGUGGUUGAUAAGUCGGCGCGUGCCAAACCCCUGCAAGUUGCCUUAGAAUUUCUGAUGUGGGUGUGCGCUGUGCUUUUUGGCCGUACACGCCGUUCGCCCGCUGGUACCCCCGCGGCCCGGGCCGCGCCGCGAAAACAACAGCGCGAGAAAUUUGGCCAGAUUUGUUGCGACGCGGGCGUACUUUGAGAGAGAAUGCGUAUGCCAAUGCCAAAGCCAAGCAGCAACCGGGGCGCGAGCGAUAUGGCCGCCGCGACCGCGACGCGCGCAAGUGGACUCGCUACGAACCAGUAGAGUAAUUGCAGCGGCGACUUGCACGUUGCAACUUGCGUGGCGCAUGCGCGGCCUCCGCUCUCCAUAGUUUCUCUCUCACGCGCGCGGCUGCUAGUGAUGAGUGUGUUAGCUGUGCUAUCUCUCCUCUCGUCUCGUGGGAUUUUAAUACUCCUGUGUAAACUGAAAACAACACAACACACACCAGAUAUAUGCCACUGUUGGAUGUAUACCCCGAUCCAGCUAGGUAGUGUGCCAGUGGGGGAAGCAAGGUACCACUACAAAGUUAAUGAGGCAAUUUAAAACUGCGGCGUAUGCAUUACUAAAACCGGAGUGCUGUUGCGCGGGGGGGAAGACUUGGGGGGUCUAAACCGGAGACUUGGUGCGUCUUCUUGAUGGGCAACAGAUAAAGAAUAGUAGUAGUAUUUUUUUAGACUAGUUAUAUGUGCAUGUUUUACUAUAAGUAAAAAAAUAUAUCUUAUAAUAUUACUUAAAAUAAAUAAAAUAUGUAUUCUCCAUGAAAUAUGUUACCUACAACCUCCGUCCCAAAAUAAGUGCAUCCGUGGAUAUCCGUGCCCAACGUUUGAUCGUCCGUCUUAUUUGAAAAAUUUGUGAAAAUUUUAAAAAUAUUUAGUCACACAUAAAAUACUAUUCACGUUUUAUCAUAUAAUAGCAAUAAAAAUACUAAUCAUAAAAAUUUUUCAAAUAAGACGAACGGUCAAACGUUGAACGCGAAUAGUACAAAACUGCACUUAUUUUGGGACGGAGGGAGUAUCAAUAAAUCAUUUUGCUAUAAGAAAUAUUCAUCUUAAUUUGACUUUAUUUGUGACUAUCCAUUAAAAUUUGAUUGAUUUUGAUACUAAGAGAGUUUAAGCGCUAAAUUAAAAAAUUACCAUGAGAGUAGGUGGGGGUGGCAAAUUCACUACCGCCACCACUAUACCCCCCUCCAUCCCACAGAAAACAAAUCUAGAACGAGAUGUAACAUAUUCUAGUACAACGAAUCUAGAUAAAGAUAUAUCCAGAUUUACAGUACUAUGAUGUGUCAUAUCUAGUAUUAGUUUGGUUUUUUAGAUACAGAAGGAGUAGAUAAUAAAAAUAAUUUUGUUAGAAAUGAAAUUAUAUUCGGUCUCUGCAAACAGCCAAGAAAUAUCAUGAUGUUAUUUUUACAGCAACUCACUUAAAUAAAAGCAAGAUAAUCUCUACUAUUAUAAAAAUUGAAGAUAUUUUUACCGGUAUUUUGAUAAGUCAUCCAUAUUUAAGUUGGUUUUUUAAGUUUGUUCGAUUUUGAAAAUACAAACGGAUUUUAAGUUCUAUUGCUUUUGAAAAUACAAAUGGAGUCGUACAAUAAAUCUCUUUUUAAAAAACUCACAUACUAACUUGAGAUAAAAGUCGGACUCCUAAUUGUAACCUAUAAUUUUCUAAAAAAAAUAUCCAAACGAAUUUCAACAGUGAAUUUCACCCUAGCUAUACCGUAUAACAAUAAUAAGAUUAAAGUAGAGUUCACCCGUUGCAAUGCACGGAUAUUUUUCUAGUACCUUAAAAACCAAGAUAAUAGCAUAAAACGCUAGACACUCCAAAAUAUUUGUCCGGCACUGUCAUUGGAAACAUGACUAGAUUUUCAUCUAAGUAACUUAAGAUGAUACCUUAAAAAGAAAAGGCAAACAAACAUCGAUGUUGUAAAAUCCAGGUAAAAUAUGCUACCUGUGUAGUUUAAUUUUUGGCAACUUAAUAAGUAAAUGAAAGGCGUACUAUGGGGUGUUUAGGAGAGAGGGGCUAAACUCUCAAAAACAUAAGUCCCUCCUAUAGAGACUUAUGUUUUUGUGAGAGGGACUAAAGUUUAGCCCCACUUUAGUCCCUCCAACCAAACACCACCUUAUGGUUUUGAGAGAGGGGCUAAAGUUUAGCCCCUCUCUCCCAAACACCCUCUAUAUAGGACUAGCUCUCUCUAGAAAACUAGAGUAAACUAGUACUUCCUCCGUUUCAUAUUAUAAAAUUUUUAGUAUUAUCUAUAUUCGUAUAGAUACUAAUGUGUAUAUGGCAAUGAAAAAGUCUAAUAACUAAAACGGAGGUAGUACCAUGUUUGCUGCGCAUCCAUCUGACUUCGAUAGUGUCCCUGUGGCUAGAGAAAAUCCUUUUCUGCACCUACAAGGGGCGCAUUGGAGAUACGUAUCCUAUACGCCGGGGUUCAUCAGGUCUUCGUCUCCUGGGGAAAAAAAUAUUUACUACGGUAUGGAUUUUUUUUUUUACAACCAAAGGGAUUAGAAUAGUACGCGUCAAGAUUGACUGAGUUGGAUUUUGAACUUUCCUGGGAAUCGAGGUGGAUAUUUUGAACGGGAUCGAACGGGAGAGCAUAUUGUUGUUCCGUCCACAGAUACUGUACGUAUAUACUGGUAUCGCCAGGCACGUCAUAGAAAUUUCUGCAAGCGUAUAUAUUUGGAUGUGGAUAUUACUGAAAGCGCCAAAAUCCAGAGUUUGAAAUUUACUCGGACCAACUUAUUUCCUCUAUAUACCGUAGGUUCAAGUGUAAUAUUGAGGGGCCUUAGUGUGACCAUGUAUGCUCAGUUUAUAAUCGACAUCUCUCUAUAUCUUUAAAAAAGCUAUUCUAAAUGAGGAUUUAACACUAGCUAUAACAACGAAGCUGUAAUAUCCUACGUGAUGUUAAAUCCCUACCUAGCUCGGUUAUUUUUUUAGAGAGAGGAUAGUGUUAGCAUGCCAGGCCUGGUCGAUAGUGAUAGCAUUGGUUUUUAAGAUUUGUCUGAAUUGAAGCUUAAAUUUUGUCGUUUGUGGAUGUUCGGGAGUUCAUGCUGUGGUAUUUUGUGCCGCACAACCUAUUAAUUUCGCUGCAGCAACCGAUAAACCGCAUUGUUGGUUUGUAGUAACGCCACUGUUGGAGCCGAAGCUCCUCUAGCAGGGUGAAGUGGCAGCCCCUUUGAGGUAUUCAGCCAGGGAGCGAAUGAAUAGAAAUGAGGCUAUUGGCGUCACGCAAAUGAACAAGGGUUGCAAAAGAUGAUGGUUUAGACAAUGUUUUUUUUGGAACAGAUCAACUUGCAUUGAUUCGGCUUUUGGGAGAGAAAGCCGAAAGGAUUACAGGAACAAAGUCUUACACAAAACGAAAAGAAACACAACACAUUACAUUACUGCUGGGUAUAUCCAGCUUUCCAGAUACAGCACACUGCAGGAACAACACCCAAAUAGAACCCUUUUGGACUGGGGACAAACUAGAUACAAGCAAAAACAACUUAGAUAGAUGAUGGUAGAUGUUGUGGUUUUAGUUGAACCAGUUUCCCUAGCCCAGCUUCAUGCCACCCUCCCAAGAUUACUCUUUCUUCCUCUCUUAACAGCACGCUCCACUUCUGAGAGAAAGACAGAGCUUUGUAGGCCACCUGCAAGGGUGAUUUCACCAAGAUAUUGUUAAAAACCCGAUCAUUUCUAGUUAGCCAAAUAGCCCAACAGAAGCUAGCCAUCAUCAACAACCAAACCCUAGAUUACUUGUCACCCCUCACUAGCCCAAAACAAUCCCACAAUGAUCCUGGUAAGAAAUUCAGGUUUAUAGCCUCCUUAAGCACACAUCAGGAAAAAACAGCUAAAGAGCAACGAAAGAUAACAUGGUUAGUACUUUCAGUUUGUGAACAGAGUUUACAGAACUCAUUUCCUCCCUUCCAAUUCCUUUUCACCAAUUGCUCAGCACAGGGGAGUCUCCCUCUCUUAACUAGAUAAAAAAAUGUUUUAUCCUUAGAGGAAUUCUACCUUUCCAAACUUCCCCCAUUUCAGUAUCCCUAAUACCCCCAAAAGUUAAAAUUCUAUACAUUGAUUUUGUGGUGAACACCCCUUUUUCAGUAUGAGGCCAACAGACCUUGUCAUUCUCAGUUCCUAGUUGAGCUUCCCCAAUUAACUCUACAAGCUCCCUAACCUCUCUAACCCUUUGUUCAUCUAAAUUUCUUCUAAACUCCAAGCUCCAUUCUCUGCCUACCACCGUAUCCUUGACAGUAGCAUUUUGAUCAUGACUAAUUUCAAAGAGAUCAGGAAAUUUGACUUUCAGAGGUACAUUAUCACACCAAACAUCCUUCCAAAAACUCACAUCUCUCCCACUGUGCACUUCCUUUGUGACCAGCCUGGAAAGCCACCCUUUGCAUUUCAGCAAACCCAUCCAAAAUUGAGAGCCACCAUUCCCAUUUCUUGUGAAAAAAUUUCAAUUCCUCAAAUAUUUCCUUCUCAGUACCUCCAGGCAUACAUCAGGUGCUCCACUUUCCAAUUUCAUAACCCAUUUACUGAACAUGCCACUGGAAAGUGUAACACUCUACUUAUAUAUUCUUGUCUAGAUUCCUUGCUAAAAUGUAUAUAGGAUAUUGGUGUACUUUUGUUCUUAGGCACUAAAGCCGAUUUGUUAUGUGUGGAGACUAUAGAGAUGUUCUAAGACUAGCUCUUCCUUCUUUUCUAGUGGUAUUGACCCUCCUUUUUUAACCGUAAAGAGAUACACGGUGCCCAUGCAUGCAUAUAUAAGUGGAACCUAACCCACAGGGGUUGGUAUGCUUGUUCUUGUCACACGACAGUUGGCGGAGCCCACUAUCAGCCCUAAACUUGCAUGUCGAUCAUGUUGGCGGAGCGUAUAGAGCCUUCUCUCCGCUCCUGCUCCUUCCUUUUGACGCGUGGUUUUGGGUAGGUAACGUGGACAGUAAGGUUUUGACACUGUCAAAUUUGGCUCCAAAUCAUUGGAUUCAUUUCAAAAUUUGUACAGAUAAGGGAGUAGGAAACAAAUUCUAUAAUGCGAUAGUAGGAGGAAUCGAACCUACGAUCAGAGCUACAGCUAAAUGUGUGCCUUAUCAACUGAGUUAGCACUUUGGUUUGAUAUUUUUACAUGCUAGUUAUGCAUUAGUUAUAAUGUAACUAAAAUAUUUAUGUUGAAAUUUUUUAGUGUUAUAUAGCUACAACCUUAUUUUUAGCCAUUGCCUUUCUAACUUUCGUGUAGCCUUUGUUAGGUCCUCUAACGGAUUAGUCCACCAUAACUAUAGGAAAUGCACCGAUCUACGUCUUGUAAGUCUAUUUUUUUAAUAGAUGGAGUAUGCCAUUGUUUAAAGUGGUAAAAAAGAGAGAAAGAAAUGAUACUUUUCAGAUUUUUGAGAGCCCAUAACUAGCACACCCUUCAUCCCCAAUAAGAUAAUCUUUAUACAUGAAUCUGGACAUAGAAAAAUUUAUUUUGGACAAAGAGUGUAUACCAAUAAAGAAAAAUACGGUCUUGCACUUCACCACACCAUGUUACCACUUCUUCCCUUCAAAAUUCUUCCACUUUAUAGCGUGACGUGCGUGACGUAACAUUAUCCAGUACAUAGAUGACAUGUAUAUAGGAGGUGCUCUCUUUAUUCUAAAAAUAAACCAACACGACUGAAGGCUGGAUUCUUGGUGAAUUUGUUUUGUAAAGAGGAGUAGAUGCACAAUUCCAUGCAUACCUGGAUCACCACCACUCCGUACAGGAGGUGUUGUGAAACGCGACCAACUGCCCGUAUCUCAUCUACUGGAGUACGUACAUCGUGUUUAUUCCAAAGUUUUUCUUCAAACUUCUAACUUUUCUAUCACAUCAAAACUUUCCUACACACAAACUUCUAACUUUUCCGUCACAUCGUUUCAAUUUCAACCAAACUUUUAAUUUUGGUGUGAACUAAACACUGCCGUAGUACAUUCUUCAUUGCAGAUAAAAAUGUGAAACGUCCAAUGUGUCAGCUACAGUAUAGGUUUGUGUUUGAGCUUCGGCAAGCUGCUUAGCACUAUUUCAGAUUACCUGUAUAGGAGUAGUAAGGAUGGUACUGUAGUAGUAUACAGGAACCCGCAGCACGCGACCACGCGUGGUGUGUGAUCGCUGAUCAGGGCAUCAGGCUUGCAGGCUGCCUCUACUGUUGUAGGAAGCGAAGCAUGGAGAAAGCUAGCAGGUGUCGCUGUGGUACGGGGCUUCGAGGGGUGGGCCCGGCAGAGGGGCAGGCGUAUGAGGUAGGGGGCGUGGCGUUCACAUGGGCCAAGUGCAUUCCCCCUGAUGAGAACAAUCUGCAGCUGUUGUUAGGACGGGUGGCUGACCGCCUGGCAUUGCCAUUGGCCGCUUCUUUUCGUUUCGUUUCGUUUCGGCUCUCAUUCAUUUCGAUCACUCUCCUCAUCCAGCUGCUGCUGCUGCUGUUUCUGUCUCUCUCUAAUCUGACCAGGGCAUGUAUAUGGCCAUGCUUGCGACCACUAGUACUACUACUUGUUGAAUAAUGCGGCGAGGAGGAGGGGGAUGGGAGAGAAGCGCCAUGCGUGGCUUCGCUGUCGCUAGGGAUAACGAGAAAGCGUGGUGGUGCUUCUUUUUUUAAGCAGGGAUGGAGGGAGAGAUUCUACCUGUGAUUGGGCUGUUGGUUUUGGCGAUUCUGCCACAGAUAAGGUUGAUGAGAACGCAAGAUAACUUGCACAUCCCAUUGGCCUAUGCUUCUAAUUGACCUUGUAUUAUCAUGGAGGUGACGUCUGUGCACGUUUAAUACUGGCAGUUGCUCGCUUAAAUAUCGCUCUAGGCGUCGGGGUUUAUUGAUGGAAGUUUUGAAGGACAUCUGGUUGCUAAUGCUUCUGAAGUUCCGAGCGGAUUAGGCCAGUCCCAACCCUCUAUCUAAGAUGGUGCCUAUGGCAUUAACUAUAUUGUCAUGUAGAACUCUUAGCUUAUAUGGCACUAUAUUAAUUAAGAGAGAGAGUGAAGAGAGGAAGAAACUGGGUCUCAUACAAGACACAGCUUCAACAUGAGAACCUAUCCACUAGAUACUAUCAAGUUUUGCAUUGGGAAAGAAUAGUGUCUUCAUAAUAGAUGAAGAAUAAAUAUGAUUAGUAGAGAAGUGAGAUGAUGUAUUUAUUAAUGGCCCACUUUAAGAAACCAUGGGUUGUAGAUUGUAGUUUAUAUUGUGAUGUCUUAUUGAUAUGGCACUAUAGACAUUGCUUAUAGACAUUAUGGGUUGAGACUGCCUUUAGUGUACUGAAGCGCUUGGAAUUUUCCAAACAGAAGAGACAAUCUGUUGCCUUCCCUUAUCAGAUCAGCUCACAUGAAAACAUUUGAAGUACUCCCAGUGUGUGUGUGUGACGGGGAGAGCUAGGUGGCUUAUCCCAGCGGAGGUGCAUGAAACUUGGGGUUGUCUUGUUGCUAGAUUUGGACUGGAGUGGAGAGAGUGAAAGCCUGAAAGCGAUCGUUAGCCGGCUGACGAAUUCAUUCCCCUCAUAGAAAAGGGUGACAAGCAACCGACAACAAUACCAGGUGUGCUAAACAGCCUUUUGAGGUUGGGCGGUUGGCUGGCCUGCAUUCACAUAGAAACAGCACACGUCUGAGUUUGAAAAAUAAUUAACGGUAGGAGUAACUAUCUAGCUGCUUUGCAUAUUUCAAUUAUUGUGGUAAAUACUCUGAUUGACAGUGAUAGAUGCUAAAUUAGAGCAAAUUUAUUCACAGUGUUUGACAAGUUAUAUCAAUAUUUAUAUUGCUGAAACGUGACAAAUGAUAAAACGGUGUGAUCACGAGUAGAGCUAUACAACAUACUAGUGAGAUGGGUGAUCACUGAUCAAAAUAAUGAAAGUUCAAUCCUAAAUUACAUUGGAAGGUGGUACAAUAUUGAGGGUUGAUAAAAAAAAAAGCAAAGGAUGAUAUAGGGCAGUUAAACAGUUUAGAGGCCGCUGCACCACCUUCUCAUCCCAAACUUUUUUUAAAACAAAAUCAUGCAAUGUUCACUGCCCGCUUAAAAAAACAAAGUCAAUAGAUAUAGCAGUUAAAAAAAACCACCUCAUCCCCACUUACCACCACCAAUAGGCUCAGAAAAAGAGUGGCUAUGUAACCAUUCAAUAGUUUGCUCUCUGUGAUAUUUCUCCCUUUCUCGUGGUGCACUGUUUCAUCAUUUGCUUGAUUCGAUCCAAUCCAACUCUUUCGAAAGGAUUUGUCCUCCUCAGCCUUCUUUCUUUGGUCCCCGCACAUAUGGCUAUGUUCAUAACUUACUUGUCUAGCAUAUAUGGCUAUGUUCAUAACUUACUUAUCCCGCACAGAAAACAAUGUAACUUAUUAGUGUAUAAAUAAUUAAGUAUUAAUUUUUAAAAAACAAAAAAUAGGUUAUAAUAUUUUUAAAAUAACUUUUUUAUAUAUAACACAUUAUUUAGUAGCUCGAUAAGUAUGCGCGUAGAGAACGAGAAAGAAAAGGAUGUAAAUUCCUAGUUCUGAACGAGGUCGUAAUCCUCUUUGGCUUCUUCUAAUGCUAGUGCAUUAUGUUCGGCGGUAUUUAUUCCCAACACAUCUCUCGUGUUCCGUGCGCACACUUUUCAAACUACUAAAUGAUGUAUUUUUUGAAAAAAAAUACAAAACUUGCUAAGUAUUUUUUAAAAAAUAGAUUGAUAUAAUUUUUAAAAGCAACUUUCGUAUAUAUUUUUUUUAGAAAAAUACAAAAUAUAAGAAUUUAGAAUCGGAUGGAACAUUUUAUAGUAGUAUGAAUAUGAAUAGAUCCGGUCUUAGGUUCUUAUAUUUUGAGGGACGGAGAGAGUAGUUAAUUAUAAGAAAAUAUGUCGCUCUGUUUUGUGUGUGCGGGAGCCGAACAUAGCCUAAUUAAGCAAUGCAGCCAUGGGUGAUGUUGAUGAACUCUAUUUACUACUAUCUUAUCCUAGAAUAUAAAAAUUUGUAGAGUUGAACAUGCUACUAUGAAAGUAAGUAGAAUUAAAUGAGAGAAGAUUGUGAUUGGUUGAAAAAUGGAAGUAAGUGAAGAAAUUGAACGGUGGAAGGUAUAAUUGGUUCGAAAGAGAAUGUUGAUAGAAAAGUUAUUAUAUUUUAGAACAAUUUCUAAAAACCAAAACUUACUAUAUUUUAUAACGGAGGGAAUAAUUACUACCUUCUUACAUGAUCAUUGUCGAUGUCAUUAUAACCUCCUAACUUAAUUUUAUGCGAUGUCCCUAAUGUUGAUGCUAAUUUUCGGAAGUCACCAAUCAAGAGGUGCAAAGUAUGCCCUGAGACGGAUGCUGGGCCUAGAUACUUGGGGUAUAUUUUUGUUUAAAGACGAGAAUGCAUGUGGACAACUUAUAAAUUUUGAGGGUCGUUGUCGGAUAUAUGGGCCCGGGGAUAUGCAAAGUGAGGGAAAUUUAUCUUCCCAUCCAGCCGCGUGGCCCUACAGUCUGGUCAUACCCUUGGACCUCGCGGAUCGCAGAAGCGGCCGGGGGGCCUCGGGGUGCCACGUCAUGCCCCUCGGGCCCUCGUGCCGCCUUGCCCCGAGGCCCUCGCCCAACUGCCAUGUGGCGGGGGGAGCGAGCAGGGAGGGGACCUAGGCUGAACCGCUAUCAAUGCGCGCGGCGCCCCAACUGCCCCUCGCCGCAUUUAAUGUGGUAGGGGCAGACGUGCGGUACCGCCCGACUGACGCACGUCAGUCAGGACUGUCCGGUCUGUGACCGACCUGUCCCCAGACACGACCGAUUGGACGGGCGGCUGUGCCCCCACGUCGCUUCUGUCUCCGGCGGAGUGGAGGUAGGUGUGACCCGUCCCAUCGGAGUGUCAUUCGGAGCUCCCUCCACGAGAGGACCACCCCAAGUCUUCACCCAUUUAUGAGGGAAUGACAGUGUUGUACCCCGUGUCACACGGGGGGCGGCGCUGGGUCCCGCUCAAGGACGGGGUGCGGCUUAGCUUCCAGGCGAAGGCACAGAUCAUGAUUCGUUCAAGGUAGGGUUGGUCCCCACCCCGUAGAAGAGUAGGUAGAGGCGGUGCAUGUGGUAUCCCCUUGAGCUAUAAAAGGAGGACCCUGUCCACCGAGAAAGGGGACGACUCCCAGUAAGCCUGAGCUCUAGGAGAAGAGAAGCGGGAACGCUCUCCGGAGUUUAGGAACCCUUGUAACACUCAACCUUAAUCCCACACACAGGAGUAGGGUAUUACGCUCCAUAGCGGCCCGAACCUGUAUAAUCUUGUCGCGCACACGCUACCUAGCAGCCUUCAGGGCGGAUACGCAAUUUCUAGAGGCAAGCUCCUUCCUCCGGCCGAACUGACAAAAGGGAGAUCUCACGAUCUUCCGCUAGAGAGGAUCACUCCUCGACAGUCGUUAACAUACGCAACCUUUGUCCUAAAAUAAUUACUCCUUCCAUAAAAAAAUUAUAAUCUUAAAGAUGUAUCUGGACAUAUAUAAUGUCCAGAUAUAUUCUAAAAUUGGAACUUUUUUUUAACAGAGGAGUACAUUUGUAUCAUUUAAUCUAAAAAAUGUAGUUUUAUUGAGGUGAAAUACUGCAUUUCUUUUAAUCAAGAAUAGCAAUUAAGUUGGCUUAUGGUCUCAACCUUCCUUUAACCAAGUGUACGUAUGGAAUAUGCGCAUACAAUGCGGCUAUUAAAUAGGAUUAUCAUGGUAAAUUAUAUUUGUUGCUAAUCUGUCUUUAAUUUAUUUUGAAAUGUAAUUAUUUUGUGAUAUAGUAGCACGAUAACAUUUUUCAUACUAGUGAAAGAAAAUUAAACAGGCAUAUGAAUUAAAACUUGUUAGCGGAGGGUCAGCCGGCAUCCAUAUCGAAUUAUCAAUCGGGACUCUAUUACGAGGGUUUAGUGUCCCACGGGGGAUGGUGCAUGCCGGGAUGUCGCACUGCUAGAUUGAAUAAUGUCCCUUGCGCAGCUCUAGCUAGAUCGAUCACGUACGAUCGGUACGUACGCACGCGCCGCGGCAGCUAGCGAUUCAACCGUUCCCCAACCUAUCACGCUUCACGCCUAGGUACACAGAUCAACCUGCGGGCUGAGGGUCGCAUUGGAUCAGCGGUUAUGUAGAAAUUGCAUGUUGCUACUGUAGCGGCUGGCUGCUAUCUAGUCACACCGAACAGGCCCGUAGUAGGUGUCGCCUCCUCCGCGCGCGCGCGCGCCCCACUGUGCAGCGAAACGUGGCUAGACGCACGGCGCACGGCACGGCACGUACGAGAAAGGCCACAGCUAAAGCCAUUAGGUCGAGGAGAACCGCGCUAAAACCCCGCCGAUCUCAUCCGAAUCCAACCAAAGGAAACACCACGCGGCGCACGGCGCACCGCGCACCGGCCGUCCUGCUCCUGCACUGCACCACGCCGAUCGAGAGUAAUCCCACUCGCCCGGACGUGUACGGCGCCCCGUCCCCCCAUCCUUAUCUCGUCGUCGCAAGCCGCGCCCGCGCGCAAGCACGUUUUUCUACUGCGCUAGUAUCCCUCUCCGCGUCCAGUACUAGGUACCCUGCGGCUAGAUCGUUACAUGAGGGGAAGGGUUUUUUGGGCUCAUCCUGCAUGUACAGGCAGCACGCGCGCGCGAGCCCAGCCGCCCACGCAUGUGUUCCUCCCUAUCACCAAAGCAAAUCGUACGCGAGCUUUCGCUUUUGUCCCUUUUGUUAGUUAAUCUACCUACUACUACGAGCUCUUCCUUCCAUCUACUGCGUGCACACGUAAGCCCGUACGUUCACAUCACAUGCUGGAGCCGUCUGUGAACAGAUUAAUCCCUGGAGUUUAUCUGGCUGACAUGGCGGUAGUUAGCGUACAGAUCCAUCAUCUAGACGCUCUAGACUCUAGAGCUCAUCGGUCCUGUGAAUGUGAGCGAUCUGCUAGCAGAAAAGCGUUGGGCUCUAGCUAGCUUUCCGUCAUCGUCGUCGGCAGAUGAGAUCAUUGGGCGCGCCUUGCAUAUUUAACUUGACUCCGGUUUGGUUCAGCGAUUUGUUUAAGACGCACUUUUGACCCGAGAGAUAUGCGGGGUGGUGGUGGUGGUGGUGGUUGCCCUGCUUGGAGCUGUACUUGCGCCAUUUCUUUUCUCCUUUCCAUGUGAAGUUUGUUUUCCACAGACGGAUUCCUAAACAAUGGGGUAGUCUUACAAAUUAAUUCUCUGGUAUUUGGUGUAGUAUAUCAUCAGCCUACUGAUUGACGGUAGCUAGAACACCUUUCAGUUCUGCUUUGUGCGUGUGUACUGGAUCUGUUUGUGAAUCACUUUAAUUUCGGAGUUUCAAUAGACAAUCUUGGAGGAGUUAAUUGUUCGCACGCAUGAACAUGGAGAUUCUCGUGUAGUCUUUUUGACCGGUGACUACAGCACUGUGGCUAGUUGUAGUAGAUAGCACACUGUUCUUGUGGUUGAACAUAACUAGUGUAGUGAUCUGAUGGCCUGAAAUGUAUAUUCUGACUUCAGUUCCCUGACUGUAAUCUAGCGCUGGCGAGCUAAUUAAAGAACGCAUAGGCUCAGCUAGCAUAGUUUGAUUAAGAAGCGCUCUUCUGACUUUUGACAGUGGACUCUGUUUUCUUGUAGUUAAACGAGACUUGGAACAUUUUUUUUCCUAGUUUUGAGAUAUAGCACAUGAGAUUAGUAGGCACUAGUAAAGAAAGACAAGCCAAGGAUCCUAAGAGAUAAUCUGCUGGUGUUUGGACUUUGGACAGCUACACAUGAUGAUAUGGACAUGCACCAAACUAUACACUAGUACUUGUGCGUGUGAAGUACAUGUAUCCGCCACUACCAGCUAAACUAGCUAGUGAGCCAAGUUAGUGCGUCACGCGAGAAACAAUCGAAAACGUGACAGUCACAACAAUAUGGUAAUGUUAAUGUACUCGGAAGUGCCAAUCUAUGGAGCAAAAUGUAGCUAGCUGUUGUUGCAACGAUUGCAUUGGACGCAUCUACCUACUAUCGUAGAACCAAAGCAGUUUUAGUUAAGAUUUCCCAUGACGCAUUCACUCGUCCAGGUACUAGUACAUGUUUAUUUCCUCGUGGUGCAACUAGCUAGGGCCAACGAGGCGAACGUGAACUGUGGUAACUAACCAUUAAUUUGUACAUGUGAGACGGUUCUCUUGAUAAAUCAGAGUCAGAUUCAAACAGUGUAAACACUGUAGGCUCGUUCGUCCCGUCGUACAACGGAUCACAAUAAGCUUUUGUGAAGGGCGCCGACGAGACGAAGAGUGGCUAGUAAACACGUGCUUUUUUUAAGCCUUCUGCACCGGCCGCCCACAUGAAACCUGAUGAUAUAGGAGUAACGAGUGUAAACGACAUGGUUCUCAAAAAAAAAAAAGUGUAACGACAUAGCAAGAACCAUUGUGUUGUCUCGCCAAUCAAUAAUAAUGCCAUGGAGAUGUACGCAGCCCCUAACCCUAAGAUCACACAUGCGCCCACCAAGUUUACUGAAAAAACGCAAACACACAGGCGCGCGCACACAAGUUUAAUUAGGAUUUGUCUUUUUUACAGGCCUGUAGAUUGAAGUUAGUUGUGUACAUUUGUGAAUCGAUAGAUGAUUCCACAUAUAUGUUUGUUAAUGUUUUGAGAAAUUUCCAUAAAUACAGUAUUUGGGUAGCAUGCAAAUUAAAAGAUCGACAAGGACAUGCAUGCACCCCGAGGUGUACAGUAGCCUAGCAUGUGUUCAAGAUGUGUGAAAAUAACCAAAUAAUAAAAGGAUGCACUUCUAGACCAGCUACCUAAAUUAUUUCAACUAGAAAGAAAGACCGCUAAGAUGUGCGAACAAUUUAUUUAUUGAUUAUAAAAAAAUCAAAAAAAGUUAUAUCUCAUUAUAUUCACUAUACGAAUAAUAGAUUAUUUAUAUCAUGAAAAAGAACAUAGACUCUGAUAUACUAAAUGAUAAUAUCUAUUAUAUUCAAACAAAAAAUCACUUUAUCCCAGUUAUGUGUAAACUCGUCUAUCACCAUUCUUCGCAAACAUAUAAGUUAAUAUAUAUUUUUUAUUAUACAUUUGAUCCACCUGUGUAUGUACAUAGGUAAUAUACAAAAUAAUCUAUAUUGCCAAAAUUAUUGUGCUAAUUGUUAAUUAAAAGGGAUAUAAUAUUGUGGCUACCACCUGAGUAACCUAGGUCUCGGUGUUCAAGCAUGAGCGAAGAAUGCAGCGGCAGACGGCAUCGUGGUUGAGCAUGAGUGGAGCAGAUGGUAGCUGGCGGCAUCGGAUCAUGAAUGGGAGGGAGUAGAUGAGGUGAUGACCGUUGAUGUUCGCAAGAGAGCUGGAGAAGAGGAUGCAAUGGUCGACACCAAUGCGGCGAUGCGCUGGAGGUAGCGGUCAAUGGAGGAGGCAGGGAGGUGGUGUACGAGCGUACGAGGGAGAUCGGGAGGUCGCUCAAUCGGAAUCGGGGGAAAGGUUGAUGCAAAAUUAUAAUCUUACCCUCCCACGACCAAAACACGAUUGGUACACUUGCUCUCGCAUGGGCGCAAUAUUUGGACGGUACCGGGCUCUUUGAGCUGUUAGAUCACGCGUAAUUAACGGUCAAGGAUAUGGUACCUUCUCCCCUAAAGGAUUGUAAAAAGCUCCCACACACACAUACACACACAUAUCAUCUCCACAAAUUUGCACAAAUAUUAAAGUACAGGUGAAGUAUGCUCACACUGCUUAUUUAUUCAUCCACUUUCUCUAGGAUUUUUCAUUUUUGUAGUCCACGUUGUAACCAUGAUUCUCAUCCGAACUCCACAAUUUUAAACAACGAACACGCAGCGAGCAAAUUGGCACUUAAAAAAGUAGUUAAAAACAAGGAGGUCAGGUACUCACUCGGGCACAUGCAUUAGAAUAUGAUCCAUUUGUGCCGAAGCCGAACCAGCGUGCCCAUCUGCCCACACCACCGGAAAGGCGGAAAGCAUCCCAAGGGCAACACACGCAUAUCCCACCCCGAAUACCGAGUAAGAUCGCUUGUCCCGUUGCCUUGCCAGCCGCGUACGUGGUCCUCCCCGGCCAGCCAAGCCCAAGUCGACGUUUAUCUCGACGGGCGAUGCGCGCGCCACAAAAUCUCGGCCACCACCCGGCCGCUUUCAAUAGCAGCAACAAAUCAACCUGAUUCUGCCCAUAGGGAGAUAGAGAUCGUCUCCUGUCUAGUACUACUCGUACUACUAGUAUAGUUACUUCUUGGUAGUACAGACGCAAAUGCAUUUGGACACUUCCUUCCUGGAAGCUGCACGAGCCACUGUUCUACUUGGGUGGGUCAGGACUGGAUCAGAGAUAAGCUGUUGGCUUCUGGGGGCAUUGUAUUAUCUGAUUUCUGCCAGCCAAGGGUGAAGAAACAUGGUAAAAAAAAUCAAUUCUGAUUAUAUUUUUUAUGGAAUGGAGGAAGUAGUAAGCAACAAAAUGAUACAACAGUUAAAAUAAAAAGCCGCGACAGCGUACAACUAUAUGGUGAUAGCUUUUCCAUUAGCUCAUACUUUCUCCGCGUCAAAAUAAAGGAACUAGUAUCAAAUUAAACACAACCUAAUACUACAAAAUUUUAAGAUGAAGAGAGUAAGGUUUAUGGUGUUGGUCAAUCAUCAACACAGGAUCACAAUAGAAAGGAGGUUCGACUCCCUCGAUCUCCUUGUAACCUAGCACUUGUGGCUAGAAAGAAACACUCGUAUCAUCAAGGGGAUACUUUUCACAAUGGAGACAGUGGCUAAUCGCAUUGUGUAAGGAGAGUUUUGGGUUGCUGCAUUAUCUAAUCCUCUAGGAGAUCUUUUUUGGCACUUACCCUUUUAUUCCACAAAAAUCCAAUCAUAGCUAUGAAUAUGAACAAGAUUCGUAGCUAGAAUUAGUUUUUUUUAAUGGAGUAGUGGUCAUUGGCUCUUUCUCCUUUUCUCAUUUUUUGCUUGUUGUUCUUAUGAGUCUGGUUCCUUUUCCUAGUCUAUUUAGUGUGUCGGUGUGUCCUUCCUCUCCUUUGUAACCCAUGAUCUACAUUAGCAGGUUGCAGUUACAAAAUUCUUUUUUAUGUUAAUAUGCCAAUGCGUAAGGCUUUUACGAGUUCAAGAAAAAAAAUUACGUGGUUAAAGAAACCAAGGCCCUUCAAUCUUUCAUUUGCCCUUGCCCACUAAAUUUCUUCAGUGUCGGCUUAUUCCUAACGCGCAACUGGUGUUGCCAAUGCAGAUGUAACAAUAGUUCAUGAUGUGUAUCUCUCUCUACUCCCUCCGUUCUUAAAAAAAAAAGGUAAAUCUAGAACUGGAUAUGACACAUUAUACGUACUAUAAUAAAUCUGGACAGAUGUAUAUCCAGAUUCGUAGUAGUAGAUGUAUCACAUCCAAUACUAGAUUGUUUUUUUAUGAGACGGAGAGAGUAUUUCUUAGCGUAGCCGUAAGCCUUUAACUACAGCACCGUCAGCCAUGGAGAAAUUACCUGCAAUUCAGCGGUAGGCCUCGCACCACGCGCUCGCUCACACGAUACUGCAUGCAUUACAUUAUACUCCCUCCAUUUCAGAUUAUAAAAUAUUUUGACUUUAGUUAAAGUUAAACUGUUUCAAGUUUGACUAAGUUUAUAGACAAAUAUAAUGAUAUUUAUAAUAAUAAAUUAGUUUCAUCGAAUCAAUAAUUGAAUAUAUUUUCAUAAUAAACUUGUCUUGAUUGAAAAUGUUACUAUCUUUUUCUACAAACUUGGUCAAAAUUAAAACAUUUUGAUUUUGACCAAAGUUAAAACGUCUUGUAACCUUAAACAGAGGGAAUAGUAUUCUCUUCCUAAAACUCAACCUAAAUACUCCCUCCGUUUCGUUUUAUUUGACACCGUUGACUUUUUAGCACAUGUUUGACCUCUCGUCUAAUUCAAAAAAAUUAAAUAAUUAUUAAUUCUUUUCCUAUCAUUUGAUUUGUUGUUAAAUAUACUUUUAUGCAUAUGUAUAGUUUUACAUAUUUCACAAAAGUUUUUGAAUAAGACGAACGGUCAAACAUGUGAUAAAAAGUCAACGGCGUCAGAUAAAACGAAACGGAGGGAGUAUGAUGUCACCUCCCCGCAAAAAAAAAUGAUGUCACCUAUCUUCAGGUUAAGUUUUUUUCCUUUUUUUUUAAAAAAAAAGGAAUGAAGGAAGUAAUUUGCAUUGACCCGAUCAUCUGUCGCGCGCGUCAACGCCGCCUCUUAACUCGACCGAUGUGUGCCAUGCGCACAACGGAAAAUCGGUGACCGCUUACAAUGCACCAGUCGUCGUUGCCCCAGCCGAUCACUCGCUCGGUCACAUGACUAGAGUGGCACAGCUGCACGUAUGUGUGCUGUGUGAAGCGAGUCAGGAGUCAAAGUCUUCGCGAUGCCACUUGUUCUUCUUGAGAGUUCAGGAAGAGCAGUUUCCAUGUGAUUUCGCCUCUAUAGUACGGUGAUUCUUGACCUCGGAAUUCGUGAGGGUACUAUUCAGUCUCGGUGCACACAGCGGAUGAUCGUGGGAAUGCAAAGCUAGCAAACUGCUCUGUCACAUGCCAGCAAUGUCAUCCCAAGUAUUGCAUCAACAAACACUCCCACAUUUCUUUCACGUGAUCCUAGCGUAACGAGCCGCGGACCGUCGUUUCUGGAACCACCUGUUUAAAUAUAGAUAAAAAAAAAACUAAUUACACAGUUUAGAUGUAAAUCACGAGACAAAUCUUUUGAGUCUAAGGGGGGUGUUUGGGAGAGAGGGGCUAAACUAAACAUAAGUCUCUAAGGGAGGGACUUAUACUUUUGUGAGAGGGACUAAUGUUUAGUCCCUAGUUCCUAAACACCCCUUAAUUAGGCCAUGAUUAAACAUAAAUGCUACAAUAACCCACAUGUGCUAAUGGCGGAUUAAUUCGGCUCAAAAGAUUCAUCUCGCGGUUUCCAGGCGAGUUAUAAAAUUUGCUUUUUUUAUUCGUGUCCAAAAACUUCUUCCAACAUCCGGUUAAACGUCUGAUGUGACACUCAAAGAUUUUCAUUUCACCAACUAAACAGCCCCUCCUAAGCAGGUAAACGUGCAAGACCUGGUAAAAUGAUAUUCCAUCCGUCCCAAAAAAAAUUAUUAGGACAGUAAUUAAUCGGACAGUGAAACGGACUACUAACCUGUGGCCGUCUCCAGACCAGCUGUCAAUCAUAAGAGCUGUCCGUCCUACGUGGAGGACGUACUAGGCAGCCGCCGUGCUUGAACAGACUAGUUGACUUGGAUCCAACAGAUAGCUCACUUUUACUGGAAUCAUCUAGCUUUCCCAAAAUUGUCAGCAUAAUUCUUAGCUUUCUCAUUUCCGCCGUCAAUUACUGGUAAUUAAGCAUGCAUGGGAAUGCAGAUGGGAAUGCCAGUGAGAAAACAUGCAUGGCGACAUCACAACAUGAAAGCGAAGUCUGCUGGGAUCCAAUCAUCUUUCCAUUUGGUGGGCCAAAGUAGCGUUCACCGUUGGAUAGUUAGCAGAUUGUUAUAAUUACUCCUGUUGUUGUGAAGAGACCACAACAGAAGUCAGAAAAGAAGGGAAUUAAUCUAAGUUGUGGUUGAUCAUCGCCGUCAGGCUCGAAGCAAAAUGGUACUACAUCCAAGUAUCAUUUUCCAUUUGGGUUUCGUCUCCACCUCCAAAUCUCCAAUGUACUCAGUGGACAUGCGCUGUUACUUUCUUCGUGCCUUUUGUUUGAUAAUUUCUUCAUGCUAUCUUUUUUACUAGUCCCGAUAGCUUUACAGUUCAAUAAACAAAUUUCAUUAUACUCGAAUUGGCUGAUUUUGACUGAGAAAAAAAAUAUAGGGGGUGUUUGGAUCAUAUGGAUUUUUUUUAGCCCACCCCUUUUAGCCUUAAAAUAGCUCAAGGGGAUCCAAACAUGAGAGCUAUUUUAGGGCUAUUUGCAAAUAGCCCACCCCAGAAAAUUAUCACCCCCAGGGGUGCUAAUUGGGGCUAUUUGCUGUGGGCCCCACCGAUUCCCACUUUCCCCCACUUGUGCCGGAUCCAGUUGCGGCAGAAAUCGUCGCUCUCACCCCUCGCUCUCGCCCUCGCUCGCUCUCCAGAACCCUCGCCGCCGCCCAGCCCAGCUUCGCCUCCCCCUCCCCCCACCCGCGCCGCCGCCCGGCCCCAGCUUCGCCUCCCCCUCCCCCCACCCGCGCCGCCGCCCGGCCCUUCACCCGCGCCGCCCUCUCCCUCGAAUCGCGCCGCCCUUCCUUCAGAUCCACCGAGAGGCAUCCACGCCGGCGACUCACCCCACCCGCGUUGCCGGCCAUCAGAUCCGUCGUCGACGCAUCGCCUUGCACCGGAUCCGCGCGGAGAUGGACCCCAACGGCUUCGAUUUCUUCUCCCAAGAUCCCAUUUCGUCCGCCGCCGGCAACAUUUGGUCGUCGCAGCCGUCGGCGUCCGGCCCUUCCCACGGAUCCGUUCCCCGCGCCGGCGUGGACACGCUGGACCUCAACACCCAGGCGGCGUCGGGCCAGGAGUUCCCUCACCUCCACGAGUACGGUGCCUUCCUCCAGGGUGGCGGCGAGGAAGGAGCUGGCCGCGGCCGAGGCUCCGGUCUCCCUCCCAUCCGUGCACCACGCUCUCUGGGAGUGAGGGCUGGUCGAGGGGGCGCCGGGCCAUCUCGUGCUGCACCGCGUGCCCGCCAGCUCAACUUCGGCGCGGUAGGUGGCCGUGCUGGACACGGUGGAAAUGGUGGGUCGUCGUCGGGCAUCGGCGGCGGCGGCCCUGGGCGAGGCAGCUCCUCAUCAGGGGCAACGGGUCGCCGUCGGCAGCGCGCCAUGGCAACCAACCGUGGCCGCGACCGCGGACGUGGGGGCCGCGGUUGGCGUGUGCCGAGGAGUGUCGGCACCCAGGAAGCACCCAUCGGCGAUUACGUCGACCUUGACGAAGAAGGUGCAUGGGACGAUGAGGUGGAGGAAUUAGGCAGCUUCGGCGGCCCUCCGGUGAGCAUUGCUGACCGAGCUAACUGGACUGAUAGGAAUAAUAGUAUUUUGUUAGCAUUGUGCAUAGAGCAAGUAAGAGCAGGCCACUACAAUGGUAGCCAAAUGAAUUCUGAUGGCUAUAAUGCUAUAGCCGAGGGCUACCAUGCCAAAACUGGUUUGAUGCACAGUCGUCUGCAGCUAAAGAAUCAAAUUGGGAUUCUCAAGAGCACGUACUCCUUCUGGCGUUACUUGCAAACGCACACGGGCUUAGGAAGAAAACCUGAUGGAACAGUCGAUGCUGAUUCUGAUUUCUGGAGUAGUCACAUAGAGGUACUUUUCUACCAUUUUUUUUAUUGCUGAUCAUGUUUUUUUGGGUUAUUAUCUGUCUGCGUUUAGUGUUCUUAUGUUUGGAUUAUUCUUGCAGGGCAAACCUUACCUGAAGAAGGUGCUUAAAGGACUUCCAGCAAACUUGGAUCAGCUUGAGGAGAUGUUCAGUGGCAGUACUGUCGAUGGUAGCACUGCUUUUGCUGCCGGUGAUGAUUUCGGUGAGGCACAAGAAGGGGCUGAAGAUGAGUGGGCAGAAGAAACAGAGGAGUUCCUGCAAACUCCUCAGAGUACAAGUAGCCAGAAGAGCAAGAGGUCCCUCGACAGCACUACCAGCACAUGUAGCACUCCAGUGAAGAAAAGCAAAAGCCCCAUGGUUAAGUAUGUGAAGGACAUAUCCAUGUCAUUCAAGGAGGCCAUGCAAAUCAACAGCCAGGAAUUGAGGAAGCGUACUAUUGAGAAGCAGGCUGCUUCAGUGAGAAAUUGUAUGAAGAUGGCCUUCGAGUGUGGAAUUGAGCAAACCACUGAGAAUAUUUUUGCAAUGUCCAAGAUGUUUGAGAAUCCCUACCAAAGGGAGUUCUUCGUUGGACUACCAAACCAUGAGCUUAGGUUCAACUACUUCAGCAAAUGGAGCAGGGAUAACAACCUGGUUUAGUUAGGCACCUCUUUUAUGUGGUCCGUUUGUUGUGUCCAGGAACCGUUUGGAGCUUUUGUUAUGUGCUGUUAAUUUGAACCUCCUUUAUCACUUUUGUUAUGUGCAGUUCGACUUUGCAGCUGUUAAUUUGAUGUUAUGGAAGUAUUAUUUGGGUUGUUUGUGUUGCAUCGAUGAACUUAUUCACAUAUUUUGGCUACUUUCAAUCAUAUAUGUCUGAAUUCAACCUGGCAUCUGUUUGUGAUGCAUUCAAUCAUAUAUUUGUACUGCAAUGUGCCAUUCUGUCAUUCUUUUGGGCUCUUAUCUAUUUGUGCUGCAAUAAUAUUACCUCUCUGUCAUUUAUUGGACAGAUGGAUGUGGAGCAACAUGGUGAUGGAGAGAUGGCCGAAGAGGAAGAGGUUUUUGAUGAAGGAAGCACAUCGUCAAGUGAUGAUGAGAUUAUUUCCAUGUGCCGCAAGAAUAUGAACAUGGCUCAAACUAUGGUUGCUCAACUUGUCCCUAUCCUUGGUAUGUACUCCGAGCACUACUUUGUCAAACUACCAAAAAGAGUGGCUCUUGAAUCAGGUAUCCAAUGGGUCCAGAGGACUUUAACCCGAGAAAAUUCAUGCUAUAACAUGUUUAGGGUUGAGAGGCAACUGUUUAAUAGGCUGCACAAUAUUUUGGUUGAGUCUUAUGGGUUGCAGUCCACAACAAAAAUGUCAUCUGUAGAAGCUCUAGCCAUUUUUUUGUGGAUUGUUGGUGCACCACAGUCAAUUAGACAGGCUGAUGACCGUUUGGUUAGAUCUUUGGAGACAAUUAGCCGGACAUUUAACAAAGUUUUGCGUUGUCUCCUUAGGUUAGCACCUAACAUAAUUAGACCAAGGGACCCUGAAUUUUCUGAGUUGCACCCUAACUUAGAAAACCCAGAUUUUUGGCCAUACUUCAACGACUGUAUAGGAGCAAUAGAUGGGACACAUGUGAAGCUUGUGGUGCCAAAGACGAAGAGAAUACAAUACUUGAAUAGGUACAAUGAAACCUCACAGAAUGUAUUGGCUGUUUGUGAUUUUGACAUGAGGUUUACCUUUGUGCUAUCGGGAUGGCCUGGUUCAGCACAUGAUAUGAGAGUGUUCAAAGAUGCAACGACAACUCAUGCUCACAAAUUUCCACAUCCACCACAAGGUAAAGUAAUGCAACUUUUGUUUCAAAUCUUUCCAUCAUUUUAACUUGUACCUAUAUGCCUCAUUGUGUGCUUGUAUAUGCAGGGAAGUACUAUGUGGUUGAUGCGGGGUACCCAAACCGCCCGGGCUACCUUUCACCGUAUAGAUGCACUAGGUAUCAUGUGGAGCAAUGGAAAAACGGGCCCCCGCCACAAGGUAUGAAAGAAACCUUUAACCAUGCACAUUCCCGGAUUAGGAAUGUCAUAGAGCGGUCUUUUGGUGUGUUGAAGAUGAAGUGGAGGAUGUUGUUGGACAUGCCAUCGUUUUCGGAAAAAAAACAAACUAGAAUAAUUGUUGCUUGCAUGGUUCUUCAUAAUUUCAGUCGAGAGAGCAAAAUUAGGGAUAGGGAAUUUGCUAGGUGUGAUGCGGAUGCAGAUUAUUUUCCAAUGCCUACAUCACCUCACUCUGACUGGCCAGAAGAUGAACCUCUUGUUGAGGAUAGCAACAUGAAUUUCUUCCGCGAUGACUUGGCAAAUGCUUUGUUUAAUGGAUUGUAAUUUUUUUUUACGGUUUGAGGACUUGUAUAUUUAUGUGAGACAAUUGUUGUGUGGACUUUAAUAUUUAUGUGAGACAAUUGUUGUAUGGACUUUAAUAUUUAUGUGAGACAAUUGUUGUAUGGAUUUUAAUAUUUAUGUGAGACAAUUGUUUUAUGUAAUUGUAUAUUUAUGUGAGACGAUUAUUGUAUGGAAUUGUAUCUUUUAUGUGACACGAUUGUUUUACAUACUUGCUUAUAUAUUUGAGACAAAUUAUGUGUUUGUGCUUGUAAGGAAUUGUGUAUGCUUGUAUGUGCCUGUAUUGGAUUAGCCAUAGAAGAUCCGGCUGCUGUAUACUUUUAGUGGAGGCAAAUGAUUGGGAUGGUACAAUAAUAGCUAAAUAGCCUUUGGAUCCAAACAGCAAGAGGGCUAUUUUGUUAGGGGGCUAUUUUGGUGGGAUAAUCUUUAGCCCAAAAAAUAUCCCUGGGAUAGUUCUCCAAACAGGCCCAUAGGAACUUUUUCAGUGGAAGUCUCGCCCAGAAAAGGAAAAGAAAAAUAAAAAUCAAAGGCAGCUUUAUGGCUUUAUAAGAGCAAGGGCAGAUAAACUUUAGCUAGCCUACUCGAUAUACUGCUAUAUUUGCAUGGUAUCAUGUUUGAAGGGUAUAAAGUGUAACAACUUUGCUACAAGCCCAAUAGCAUGGUCAAAGCCCACAAUAUGUCAUAUCCAGAGAGAACAAGUCUACAUUGACUCCCUCAACUUAUGCCCCUGGUUGAAUCGCAUCCCUCAACCUCAGGGUUUACGAUUCCGACGAAAUCCGGUCGGAUUUCGCGAAAUUUCGACGUUCCAACGAGGCUCGAAAGUAGAAACCGUUUGAGAUUCCGAGGAGUUUCAUCUAAAUUUAAAUUUAAAUUGAUAAAAAAGAAAAAAUAAAAUAAAAUCUUAUAAAUACUAUGGUAUUCAUAUAACUUAUUGGGAUAUAAAUUUAUGAAAAAAAAGAUGUAUUAUGUGUAUUUACUAAAACUUACAUAAUGAAAAAAAAAUUCAGAAAAUUACCUCUAUUACAAAUUAAUGAUCGAAAUUUCGAUGAUUUCGAUCAGAAUUUCGCCAAAACCGACCGAUUUUCGAGAACUUGUCGGCAACUUAGGGAAUUUAUAUUCAAAUUUUGGUUUAUAAAAUUUGUUCGGAAUUUACCGAUUUUCCACCGGAUUUCGCGAAAUUCCGAAUUCCGCCGAUGCCCGGAACGGAAGGGCCUGUCGGAAUCGUAAACCUUGCUCUACCGCAAAACCGAUACAACCCAUCCUCCAACUCAUAAGACCGUUGCAAAUCGACUCCUCGAACGGUUUGGGAGGUGGUUUCGUCCAAUGUGGCAUCUUUGACCCCGUUAACUAGCUGAGUUAGCACAUGGACCCCAUAUGUCAGUGUCUUGUAGACAGUGGCAGUGCCUGGUGGUGGUGCGCGGCGGUGGCCAUGCGUGACGGCAAACGAAGGUGCGACAGCGGAAAUUGAGGGCACAAGCGAGAAGAGGGGAACACGACGAUCCUUACUGAUGCAAUUACGACGGCAAGCGGCAACAAGCUUGAAAAGGCGGUGGCCUCGGGUUGAUGUCGACGGCGGCGCUCCGGUGAUGUCCAAGUGAAGCGAAGGUGCAGUUGAGAUUCUCUUUCGUCUUACGAACCAAACAGUGAUGACGACGGACGUGGUGGCACGGUUGGCUCGGCUGGAGCGGUGGCCUUCGGCGAAGAGUGCGCAAGGAGGCGGCUAGGGCAUGGGACGAGCUCGGACUAGGGUUAGAAUCGGAAGAGGGGACCUUAGGCAAGCUAUAUAUAGGUGGAGGAGAAAGAGACCGGGCUAGAAACAGAUGGAUUCAGUGGCGAAAAACUAGGGUUCAUCCUGAGUUCUUCGGGAUUAGAACGGGGCCGAAAUUCACGGGAUUUAACACAAUAUUGAUGGGGUUUUCUUGGGGGGAAAGGAGAGGAAAUCGAGAGAAAUCCGUUUAUGCAACUAAUUUGGAAGGAAAAGCUCGUUCAACUGGUUGAGGCGACAACGGCAUGGAGCUAUAGGUGUCGAUCGAGGGCAGCGAGAUCUACAGGUUGCCACCUUCAUUUGCCCUCCUUGGAAGUUGGAUCCCCAGCGUUAGACAAGCUCACAAGCCACUGCCACCCAUCUCCCUCAACUUGCUGCCGCUCGAUGGCUACUGUGCCCGUCUCUGGGUGCCAAAACAACGGAGUCCCCAACUCCCACCCUCUGUUGCCGGACCACCCUAUUAUCUCGCCGCUGCCAUGCUGCCAUUUUGCCGUCAUGAGGAAAUAUGGGUGAGAGAGUGAGGAAAUAUGGGUAAGGAAAUGAAGAGAAGAAAGAGAAGGGUGACUGACAAAUGGUUCCAUAUGCUAAGUCAACCGAGGUAAACAUGACACCUUUGUAAAAACUGCUUUGAAGCCACUGAGGGAGUCAAAAUACAUUGAUUUUAAUAGUUGAGGGGUUAAGAUAUCCGGUAUUACAGUUUGGGGAUACGAGUUAGAUUAUACAUAUAUUUUGAGGGACUCAAAGUGGACUUAUUCCUAACCAAUAUAUGGUAGGAAUAAGUUCACUUUGGGUCCCUCAAAUUAUUGUCGAGUCGUCCCUCAAAUUAUUGUCGAGUCUGAAAUUCGUCCCUAUACCAAAAUACCAGAUAUAACGAGUCCCUCACAAUUUACAAAACCGGAUCAUAUGAGGUCCUAGGCAGUAUUUACGUCUGGUUUUAGCUGACAUGAUAAGCUUAGUUAGCAUGGGACCCACGCAGGCCCCAACACUCUCGUCCAAUGGUUAACACUCUCGUCUUCCUUUUCCCUUCUCCCCAUCUCCUCUCCUCUCUCUCCCCUCUUCGGCAACAAUGGCUGACUCGGUUGAAUAAAAGUUGGCUCCGCGCCGGUGGAGCCUCGCGGGGCGCUUGACGAGCCCGGUCACCUCCACGAUCCUUGUCGACCAGUCCGCCUUGGGCACGGCGCCGUGGUUGCACACGUAGUGGACUGGCGUCGGCGUGAUGAAACCGUCAAGCAUGAGGCACGGCAGCAGCGGCUCGGAGUUAAAGGGGUGCUUGCCGGUGAGCCAGACGAGCACCGGGUGCCGACGCACCCACGCGUCACUGCGUCAGAGGUGGCCUCGUCGCAUGGGUCAUUGACGGGAGGCUCCACCUCGAGGCGCGAGUGGUACAACUACCUUCAGUCCGGUGGUAUGUCGUCAUCGUCGUCGGAGUCGGUCUUGGAGCCCAACCGACGGUUGUCGCCGGUGGAUGGGAACAAGUCGAUGUUGCUCGACGACUCAUUGCUCGCCACCAUGGAACAGCUUGACCGUGGAGUUCCCCGUCACGUUGGUUUGCGCGGGCAACCAACACAAGGAGCAGAACAUGGUGCGCCAGACCGUCGGCUUCAACUGCCAGCGCCAUCUCAACCUUCGUGUGGCGUGGCGCGCAUCUGCGUGACGUGCUGCGGCGGAGCGGGGUCAUGGGUGCCUCCCCACCUCGCCCGGCCGCCGCGCGCCACCCGCCUCUCCUGGCCGUCGCGCGCCCGCCCACCUCUCCCGGCCGUCGCGCGCCGCCCUGCCCGGCCGCUUCGCACCGCCCUCCUCUCCCGACUACCGCGCGCCGCCUAGCCUCGCCCGGCCUGGAGAGAGGACAAAGGAGAGGGGAGUUGGGGAGAGAGGAGGAAGAAGAGGAGGGGGUAAGAAUGACAUGUGGGGCCCAUAUGGGUCCCACCAUUUUUGAAUGAAUUUUUUUGGUGUAACUGACAUGUGGGACCACAAAUAGCAAUUUUCCAAAUAAAAAUUACCGCGUAAGCGCCACGUCACUAGCUACGUCAUAUGAAAACCGAGUCAAAUUAGCCACGUAGGCACCACGUCAGUGAAAACCGCCAUAGGACCUAUAUUGCACCGGUUUUGAUAGUUGAGGGACCCUUUAUAUCUGGUUUUCUGGUUGAAUGACCUAUAUUGCACCGGUUUUGAUAGUUGAGGGACCCUUUAUAUCUGGUUUUCUGGUUGAAUGGUUGAAGGACGGAAAUCGGAUUCACUGACAAGUUAAGAGACCUCCGAUGAACUUAUUCCUAUAGAGUACUAGUAGUAUAAGCCCACUAACAUGGUCAAAGUGUCAAAGCCCACAAUAUGUCUGACUGGUUAGAACUAAGGUGACAUGGAACAGAUAGCCCAAAUCUAAAGAAUUCUACAAUUUGUGAAGCUGGAUUCAGUCCAACAACUCAUUCCUCGGUUCCUCGCCUUGACAAUUAACAUAGGGAAGGGAAGGAAUCAACUAUCAGUAAGAGGGUUAGCAGAAGACUCCAUAGCUCUAGCUCAAGUGACGGACAUUGUUGAGAUAACUGCAUCUCCUCCUUGUGUGCCCUCAACAGACAACCGUUUUGCGAAAGGAAAGUGGAUUCAGACCAACGAGGACCUGACUUUUAUGUGGUAAUAACAGUGGCUUCAGAUCAACGAGGACCUGACCUGGUUAGCAAAUAUUUCGCUUCCCCUUGUGCAGUUCACGACUCACAGCGAAGAUAAACUAAGUCUACCAUCGUAUCAUGCUCACCGAAGUUCUGUAGACUGACGAGAAGGCCUUCGACUUUUAGCAGAACAAACAGUUGUGAGUAUUAUACAAGAUUGUGUGUCUUGAUUAAGAAACAAUAUACAAUGUGCCUAUGUUCUGAGUAAGACAUGCAAAGCAAACUUGCAGUGAUAAACACGUAACAAGGAUAACUAUUGGGUCUAUGGGGGCAAUGUAGUCUCCAGUGAGGAACGUAGCAUCCGGUUUCUGAUGGGAAACCAUUAUUACCUUUACUGUUUUAGGCACAGUAAACUGAAGUGGAAGCCACAAACAACCAAAUUAAGGAAGAGUUAUGCAAACACUAAAUGGUACUCCCUCCAUUUUUAUUUAGAUGACGUUGGUUAGUUUCAAUUUGAACUAACCAACGCCAAAUAAAAAAAAGAGAGGUAGUAGUAGUAGUAAGUUACAGGGAGACGAAACUCAAUGUUAUCCAAUAUCAUAGGGUAUAAAAACUCCAACUCAGAAUCAAGCUGAAAGGCUAUACUAGAAACAUUAUGCCGUGAUGAUAAUAACUCAAAAAGAUCAAUCUCACAUUUUAUUUGUUGUCACAGGAUAUUCAAACCACCUAGAAUGAUUGGUCAGUUUGUAACACAAUCUAGCUUAAAGGCUUAAAGCUACUAAAUGGAAAGACUGUGGUACUGCAGUCAACCUAUAUGACAAUCUAUUCAGAAAUAGUGAUAGGUCCAGCACACUAGAGAUUUUACAGUUUUAACCGAACUAAAUUUAGGAUAUCCACUUAUAGUUUACUCUGAACAUGGAACAUUGCUAUGUAGUUCUAAUAAAACUAUUUUCUUAUAUACUUACAACGGUGCUAUAUAACACUUGCUGUCUUGAGAACAAGGAUUAUAUUAUGCUUUUCAGAAAAGAAUUCUUGACUAACAAAACUAAAGCGAUUUGCAGCAACUGAAAUGUUUAAUAAAUUCUAUCAGUUCAGACUUCAAACCAUGCAACCAAAGAGGGUUUCUUAUUGUCAUUGACAAUUUGACAGACAAUAGUGAGUAAAAGCAAUCGGAAAGGCAGUCACAGGUAUCCAUUCGAAACAAUUAUUCAAUUAAGUGCUAGGGCAUAACCACUUAUUGUCAUAUUAUAUGAUACAUAUAUAAAGUACAAGGAACAGCUCUAUCCACUUAUGUGUAUAGUUAGAAGAGCCUCAAAACCUAGUACUACAAAUUAAAGAUUACUGUGACACACCAAGUUCAUCAACUGCAGUUGAAUAAGAUGCAGAAAAAGGAGUUCAUGGUGACAAUAAGCAAGAUAACGGCCAUGGGGGGUUAACUAAAGCUCAGAUCUUACCAUUCAGCUUGUUCUGGAGAACAUCCAUCACAGAAGCAAAGUCAGCCUUCACAUUGAUUGGUGGAUUAGCGUACUGGCACAGCAUGUCCUUGAUGUUCCUGUCAUGGUAGUCUAUCUUCGAUUGUGUGAACUUAAGCCCAUGCGCUGUACUAACAACCACUGUGCGGUCAUUAGGCCCGAUUAUGCGCUGGUCUCGAAGCUUGAACAAAGCAGCAAGUGCAACCCCGGUGUGUGGGCAGGCAAACAUUCCGGUGCGGUCAGCAAGUGACAUUGCAUCCAUGAGUUCUUCCUCCGUAGCUUCCUCAACAAUACCGUCAGUUGCCUUCAGGGCGACCACUGCACGGUCGACAGAUACUGGAUCACCAAUCUGUAUGGCAGAUGCAAAUGUAGUUUCGGCUACACGUGGCUGGAAAUCAGUCCACCCUGACUUGUAGAACCGAUACAACGGAUUUGCGUUUGCAGCUUGUGCGCAUACAAGACGCGGCACACGAUCAACAAGCCCAAGAACACGGCACAUCUCAAACCCCUUGUAGAAGGCAUAGAUAUUCCCAAGAUUGCCUCCUGGAACAAUGACCCAAUCCGGCACCUGCCAAUCGAACUGCUGCAAUAUCUCGAUGGCUGCCGUCUUCUGGCCCUCAAGCCGAAGGGAGUUCAGCGAGUUGGCAAGGUAAAUCGGUAGCUCGGCGGUCACCUCCCUGAUGAGCCGCAUGCACCCGUCAAAGUCCGUGUCCAGCGAGAGCACGGUGGCGCCGUUGGCGAUUGGCUGGAUGAGCUGCUGCAGAGAGAUGCGGUCGGCGGGGAGGAACACGAUGGCGGGGAUACCUGCGGCGGCGCAGUACGCGGAAAGCGCGGCGGAGGUGUCGCCCGUGGACGCGCAGCCGACGCCGUUGAUGGGGCGUGAGAGCGGCGCGCGGCGGAGGCGGUUCACCUGGCUGACGAGCACCGUCAUGCCGAGGUCCUUGAAGGAGCCCGUGUGCGAGAUGCCGCAGUGCUUAACCCAGAGGUCGGUCAUCCCGCCGAGGUGCUCGCGGCCGAGGCGCUCCGCCCAGAAGAGGUUGGAGUUGCCCUCGAAGAGGGAGACGAUGUGGUCGGAGUCGAUCUCCGGGAGCACGAACUCCUUCUUGGACCACACCCCGGAGCCGUAGGGCCACGCGGUGCGCCCCACGCGGGAGUCGAAGAGGUCGCGCCAGUAGGAGCCCGGGAAGCGCGCGAGCGCCUCCAUGUCGUGGCACACGUCGAGGAGCCCCCCGGAGCUGGAGCGGUAGACCACCUCGUCCAGCGAGUAGCGCUCGUCGGGGUCGUCCUCGGGCGUCGGGGGGAACGGCACGUACCACGCCGAGAAGUCGUUCCCGGGGCCGCGGAGCCGCGCGGCCUCCUCCCGGAUGUUCUCCUCCGCGGGGCGGCGGUGCCUCGUGGCCGUCGUGGCGGCGUCGGAGGCGCAUCGCGCGCGGUGGGGCGCGGCGCGCAGCGGGCGGCGGAGGUGAGGCCCGCCGGCGAAGGGCCUGGGGUUGGACGAGUGUGGGUGGGCGAAGAGGAGAGAGAGGGACGACGCGGUGGCGGUCGCCAUGGCGGAGGAGGCGAGGUGCUUGGCGGCGGAGGAGGAGGGGAUGGGGGGAGUAAUUAGGGAGGAGGAUGGGUGACGUGGAUGGGGAGGUUUUAGGCUUUAGGGGAGGGAUGAUUCGAUUGAUCUGGACGUUAAUUGGGCGCGCAGCCGUUAGGAGGCCGACAGGUGGGGCAGAUUCUUUGUGAUGGUAUAUUUGCGUUUAGUUUUUUUACUCUCUCCGUGAGCUUAAAUCCAAAUACAGUAACAGUAGUCAAGCUAGUUUUGGCUUGCUACUAAUGUAGAUACCAUGUCAUCUAUAAAUAAUGCUAAUACCAUGGACAACAAUCGCAAUUUUGCAACAUUCAUAUUCUAUAUACUCCCCCAUCCCAAGAUAAAUGUAAUUUUAAAUUUAACUUUUAUCCUAAAAUAAAUACAAUCCCACAUAUUACUUGCUCACAUUAAUUAAUCGCAUUACAUCUCAAAAUUUUCUCCAUCAUACCUUCAAUUACCCUCUCAGUCCCUACCAGCUCUUAUUUAAUAGGGAUACUUAGGUAAUCUCUCUAUUAUUUUCCUCACACACUUUUUAAAAAUAUACUUACAGUGGAACAGAGAGAGUAAGCAACUUCAUGCAAAAUUGGUCGUGAAGCAUCGGAAGAUCAUUAUUUCAAUCUUAUAGCACUAAGAAAAAAAAAAUCCCGAUUCACUUUUUAUGAAAUGAUCCGGUUCCCUUUAAUGGAUAUUGCAAGGCUCAAUUAUCGGUUUUCUUCCAUUUAGAUCGAUAAACGUGUACUCAUUCUAAAAUUGCUUAUAUUUAUGGAUGUAGGUAGCAGCUUACUGUUCGCAUUCCAUUCAUAUUGCAUUGAAAUUUUAGCACCUUAGGUGCUGGGGUCGACUCCCCAUGGGAGCAAAUUUUUCAGGAUUUAACGGUAUUGUGCUUUCAGUAGUAGGCGACGUGCCCGUCGACAGUGAGACGCCUAAAGUGACUUCACCAAUCUCUAGGAUUUGAUUUGCUGGUCCAGUCUUUGAAGAUGCUUAUAGGGGUAGGGUUUGCGUACAAGGGGCGGAUAUACAGUAGAAGAAGGACCGGUGUCAGGCGACACCGACGACUUUUGGCAAAACUAUAGCAAAAUUGUUUACCCAUAUGUUAUAACACCAUAAUCUAAGCAUGAUUAGCAUACUAUAGCACCGAUAGACACAUUAUGACACCAACGAAUCGAUUUCCUGAAUCCGCCACUGUUGCUUACGCGUUUUUAUAGGGGUGAGUAUGCGUGCAUUGUGAGUGUCUGUUGUACUGUGUAUUUCUUUUAAAAAAAGUGAAUAUCCACUGAGCUGUACGCUAUCCUCCAUUUUUGGGACAAGAGCGAACUACCAUCGCAUAUUUGGAACGUGGAAAAUCGAGAUCGAGAGGACAACGUCAUGCAAAAUGAUUUUGGAUGGAUAGUAACUACGGGCUGGAGGAAUCGUCGGGGACCCCACCAGAGCCGCUGCAGCACUGCUCCCACACAAGAUCACCAUAUCUCUGAAAAUGGACGCGAUUCUACAUUUCUACGCAACAAAUAGUGGCGAAAGCGAACGGCGGUUCAGCAGCAUAUUCCAGCGGUCCAGCCGGCUCCUGCCGUGCUGCAAAACAAUAUCUUGUGCCGCCGUUGCUACGGGUUUAUGAGCUCAUGGCGUGCAGCGGCCUUGCAAGAACAAGAGGAGAAUGCACCCGGUAUGGCUCAAUUCAGUGUGUGCAAGUAACAACGUAUUCAAAUGAGUGAUUACUUAAUCAACACUUGUAUAUACAUAUAGAAAGUGAGACAAGGUACUGUGGAACACUGAAAUCCUGUUUAACAGUAUGCUGACGAUUUCCAAAGUAUAGAUUACCAAGACAAAAAGGCUUCUCUCUCUCUCUCCCCCUACCAGGUCACCAAAUUACAGUGCUACAAUUGUUUUUUGAAAUCAAUACAAGGCUACAAAUGUAAGGAACAGAAGUACGCAUGUAGUGUGACGUCUCUAACUUCCCUGUAUUUAAGCUGCUGGUGAAAAUCACCGUACCAAGUUGCUGCAGCUCAAAUAAUCUCUUCCGUCCUCGGGAGCUCAGGAUUUCCUGAGAGUAAAAUGACCACCAUGUGUGCAAGUGUCUACUGGAUAGGAAACAUUCAGAUCUGACAUAAGAAUCUUUAUGUUAUAAGAAUAAAUUGAACACUUUAUCAUCUAUUCAACAUUUCAGAGGACUGUGCGGUGUUCACAUAAGUUGCGCUCUUGUUGAAUCCCUCAAGUGCCAUUAUUCUAACUGCCUCCAAGCCCCUAUGGAAAGCGAAAUCAAGCUGCAAAAAGAGAUGUGUACAUCUUAAACAAACAGUGCUAUGCCCAGAACAGAAAAUGAGGUAAAUAUGAAAAAAAAAAGGGUUUCUUGAAAGCAUUCUAAUUAAAACCUCUUCCUGUUCUUUUCUGUUAAAUGGUCGGAGAACAAAAUUGGCAGGAUCCAUCUUCCCAGGUGGUCGUCCAAUGCCUGCAAGAUAUCACCGCAAGAAUAUUUUCAGACAUGGUAACUGAGUUGAAAAAGGAGAGAAGCGCUAUACCAAUUCUUAGACGUGGGAAAUCACGGUUCUGCUUCAAAUGGUUGAUAAUGCUUCUCACCCUGCAAGUGGUGAACAUAUGGAUGAGAGGUUCCCCAAGAGAAGAUGUGGGAGAAACAAAUGUACAAUUGAACAUCCUAAAGUUUGUCUGAUGCAUUUUCUCACAACUAUGCACCUUAGAUCAGUUCUUAAGUAACAAUGGAUAAUGCAUUGCAUUAGGACAAGUAGAAAGAUGGUGCCAACGGUAUAUGAUGAGAAAUUAAGAAUAUCCUUUUGCUUAGGUGAACUUCAGAGUUAUCUACCUCCAAAAGUUAGGUCUUCAGCAUAAAGUUAGUAAAAUAAUCACUGAGUUAACACAUGCAGGUAAUGAGUUUCGACCAUUUUGUAAAAGAAGUAGAAGAGAGCUGAGAAAUUAAGAAUAUCCUUUUGCUUAGGUGAACUUCAGAGUUAUCUACCUCCAAAAGUUAGGUCUUCAGCAUAAAGUUAGUAAAAUAAUCACUGAGUUAACACAUGCAGGUAAUGAGUUUCGACCAUUUUGUAAAAGAAGUAGAAGAGAGCUGGAGUACCCAUUAUGACCGCCAUGUCCACCUUUCGGCAGUAGACGCAAUUUUGCAAAGGGCAAGUCUAGAUCAUCAUACAUCUGCAGAGAAUAAAAAAUGAAUGAAGAAUCAAAAUAUAGCAAUCUGUUAAAAAAAACAGCAACCAGAAACUCGAGGAUAGCACUUUACCACAAGAACUUGAUUAAGUGGUAUCUUGAAAUAUGAGACCAACUGCCCCACCUGUAUAACUCGAUUUGUCAAACGAAAAAGGUAAAAAAAAGAAGGAACAACUAGUAGUGAAGGUUGUUUUGGAAUCAGUAUACUUACAGACUCACCACUUGCAUUCAUAAAAGUUUGUGGCUUGGCCAGCAUGAUAGGGGCAUCUCCAAUACGACCUAAAUAUUAUUUUCUGUUAUGAAUGUUUGAUAGCACUACCUUCAGAAUUUCAAAUAAGUAUAUGCACCUGCUCAUGUUUAAUAUUCAAGCAUAGAGUAUCUUAAACAAAUAGCAUUUGUUUAUAGGUAAUAUUUAUGAAAACCGCAUAAAUAUUGUUAGAGUUGAAAAGGUAAUGUGCAAGACUUGAGGAACAAAGUACAGCUCUGGGAAUCCAGAUAGCAUGGCUUCUUUCAACACAAGAUGUAUCAGUUGAAAAGAAUUAUAUUAAUUGUCAAUAUUACCUUUUCCUACCAUUGCCUUGAACUGCAUACUGCUGAGGGAUAUACCUUCAGCUUCUGCUAUAACAUCAAUCAUCUCGAAUCCAACCUGUGAACAAUAUGAGCGACCUCAAGGUUAGCAACUAAAUUAGAUACAUAAUGCAUUGGUGCACUCAUAUUGGGACUGUGUCAUGCGUGACCAUUUAUUGAACAAAGGACUGAAGUUAUGUGCAAUAUAUAUAUUCCACGAAACUGAUACUGAAGACAUAGAAACUGAGAAUCAGACGAAAAAACAUUGUAUGAAUUAGAUGCCUCAAAAAGCAACGCAUAAUGAAUUUUGCUGCCCUCAAAGUGAGAUCUCCUUUGUAAUAUAUACUGUCAACAAAAACUUGACAACUACACAUUGAAAUGUUCUUUUCAAAUACUUCAUCUAACAUGUGGCCAUUUCCAUACUUGCAGAAUGGGUUUGAGCUCUUCAACAGUCAGAAAGGUUGCAGUUUUGUUUAUUUCGUCUUUGAACAACUACCAGUUCGAGUAUUCGACCCUAAUAACUACAGGGAGUCUAGUACAAGCAGCUCAAAAUCAGGCAACUUACGUUGUGGCGAGUCCCUUGGUACACUUUCCCGGGGUUCCCGAGCCCGACGAACAACCACGGCUUCAGCGCGCCGCCGUCGCCCGCGGCCGCCGCGGCUGACGAGGAGGCCGCUCGGCACGCGGUGGCAGAGGCGGGGACCGGCAAGCAUCUUGCCCUCGCGCGGGCGAGUGAGAGGAGGGGGCAGGGGAUUCGGGAAGCAGAGGCGCCGGAGAGCAGCCGCAUCGCCGUAGUCGCCGCCGUCGCCGCCGCCCGUGAGGAGGAGGAACCACGAAUUGGCGGCCGGCUCGGAACCAGGAGCGCUUUUCCAUCGUCUACUCUGAUCGGACGGCUAUGAGUAACCCAGGAUCGGAAUCCGACGGUUGCCUCCGAGCCCUCGAUCUCGGCCGCGAGGCUUCAGAAUCCGACGGUGGAAAUGCCCCGUGCGGCACGGGCUCGAGUCCCUUCUCUGUUCUCUCUCUCUCGCUACGCGGUGGGCGCAAGGGCGCAAAGCGACGGUCACUGGCGUAGCGUUCGGCCGAAGCGAGCCCGUAGGCCGGAGGAGCCAGCCGCCAUCGUCGGCGACUAGGCCGCUAUCGUUACAGCUAGGCUAAUAGUACAGCUACUUGUUACCUCCAAAAAUAACCACAUCAUUCUAUUCUAGCGAAUGACACAAGCUAAUCAAUACAAUAAUAGAGUGCGGGUUUAUUUGGGGAGGUUAAAAUCAUGAGAAGCAGCUGAUUGUUAACCAGCUUAUAAGAAUCUGAAAAUAGCUAAGAGUCUGACUGUUAGUUUAUUUUCUGGAUUCUAUAACUAUAGCUUCUUAAAAUCUAGACCAAAAUCUAGACUGUUUGGGGAAACUUCUAGUUCUGGGAGAAGCUGUAGCAACUAGAAACUCUCCCCAAACAGAACCUAUAUAUACAUCUCUACGCACUUCCCAUGGCUAGGUUUGAUUUUUUUUUUUAAAAUCUUCACUUGAAUGUUGCAAUUGGCUGAGAGCAGCAGCAAUAUUGGGAGCAGUGUACAACCGGGCUGUAAAUUAGUCACCGAGCUUCUCUCUCUUUUCCAUUCACCCUCCAGCUUACUCCUCAAACCUACGUGGAGUCAGUAUCGCCGGCGCUAUGAGUGUUAUUUUAACUGCUCUUAGAAGGUCAAUUCUUGCGUCCUGCAUAACCCGUGUCGGAGGCCACAGCCGAAAACUGCAGGUGUUGUGGCGGUGAACCUUCACUUUUCCAUGUCAAAGAGAUUGCCAUAACUUACGUUAAAAAAAAGAUUGCCAUAACUUUUUUUUUGCGCUAAGCUUGUAGUUGUAACCGCUAGUUACUAAUGCUCUCUAAACAUCCUAGCUUGCUAUAUUUUAGGAUAGAACCGGUACUUACUACAAUAGCCACUCUCUUUGAGCUACAUGAUUACACGGAAAAAAGAAACAAUUCUCACAUGAAUAGCAAAUAUUUACCUUGUUUCAACUCCUUAGAUUAAACAUAUAUUUCCACCCUAUCUUCAUGCCAUCAGAAAUGAAUGGCCACAUCGUUACGGUAUAUUUACAAACGAAAAAUAAUUUAUAAAUAUAUUUUUUAUAUACGUGUUCUUAGCGAUUUAAAAGUAAAAGCUGAAAAAAUAAACUUCGAUGUAAAACCCCAAAAUCAACUCUAAAUAUAAAGUUAAAAAUUUAAAUUUUGGCUGAUACUUAUAAACAUAAGAAAAGGACGAGGGACAAACUCUUCCAUGCUAGUAGUAACUGUUCGUGCUGUUGUCAAACAGUAGUCUCGCGCUACUGUUUGUAUUCUUUUCGAAAAAAAAAUGAACUAGCUAUACUGCUUUUUUAUAUGUGCUAAUGGAAUCCUAGCUACUCCGUAUUUGAAUUGACAAAAUUAAAGCAGCAUGUCAUGCAUUCUGCAGUUCUCUGCAGAGAGAAAUUGGAUCUGCGCACAGCAGGGUCGGUUUAGUUGUCACAUCGAAUGUUUAACCGUAUGUGGGAAGGGUUUUUGAAACACGAACGAAAAAACUAAUUUUAUAACUCACAUGUAAAACUGCGAGACGAAUCUUUUGAGCCUAAUUAGUCUGUCAUUAGCACAUGCAGGUUACUGUAGCACUUAUGGCUAAUCAUGGACUAAUUAGGCUCAAAAGAUUCAUCUCGCGAUUUCCCCCCUAACUGUGCAAUUGGUUUUUCUUUUAAUCUAUAUUUAAUACUUUAUGCAUGUGUCUAUAAAUAAAAGUUGGAUGUGAUGUUUUUGGAAAAAUAAUUUGGGAACUAAACCCUAUUGCCAAGGUGGAUGUUUUCCGCGAGACCUGCAAGUCUUCCCCGCCAUAACGUGUACGUUUGCACAUUCUCAAGCAGCACCAGAAGAUGAAUCAGUUUAGCGAAAACUCCAUGAGACGGACAAAAAAUGUGACAGUCAUGCGUUAUUAUUACUCCCAUCCCUCUCUAAACGAUGUACAAACUAGACAGGGGAUGUCCUGUCGAUUAGGCAAGACCGCAAGACUCUUUCCCUAAUUCCCAGCCCGUCAACUGGUUCUUUAUGAGUCACACACGUAUUCAGGGUUUCACACUGACGAUGCCAUGAAGUGCAGCAGAGAUAUACCAGUCCAGUGUGAUCAGCGGUCGUGUUUCUUCCAGUCCAGUCGCUUUCCAGCAAGAACGUGUCCAGUGGGGGGCGCUAACUAUCAGUCUACCACCAGUCAGCCCCCGAAGGAAAAAUAGACAAGGCAGCAACAGUUUUAGUUCAUACUAGUCUAAUCUUUGGAAAUUGGAAGCAUUAACAAGUCCGUAGCCUUCUUUUUGUCCACAACUAGAGAAAAAAUAACAUGAGACGUUUCUCCAAUAAAAGUUAGAUAGAAAUUUAGAUAUUUGUGGCAUAUUUUUCAAACUGCUAAAUAAUACGUUUCAUGUAAAAUUUUUCUAUAUGAAAAAUUACUCUAAAAUAUCAGAUAAAUAUAUUUUCUCAAGUUUGUAAUAAAAAAACUUAAUUAGUCAUACGUUGAUAUCAUCUCAUUUUAUAUAAAAUACUUAAUUUUUAUCUUCAUCUUCAUCUAUAUGAGUUUCAUUCGAACAUGACGUACUACGCUGUGUAUUCAAGGUAGCACUAGCAAAUUAAGCUGUACACUCACAGGAACAAAUGCCAAUUUCGUUUCCGUACUACGUUCCCCCUUCACUGUUUUCUUUGGUGAGAUGAAAAAAAUGUCAUGCUAAUUAAUUAAGCUGUGUCCCCGCAAAAAGAAAUUAAUUAAGCUGUGCACUCUCGAUCGAUCGGUUCGGCAAAAGAUUUAUUAUUUCCUCUUUCGCCUAUUCUUUCAUCACGGUCACAAACGUGAACAUGCACGUACAGGGAAGCAGCUUGUGAACGAGCUCGCUCGCAUCAACUUUUAGGCCGCCUUUGAUUUAAAGAAAAAACAUAGAAAUUUUGAAGGAUUUUAAUCCUACAGAAAAAUUUUCUAUAACACCCUUUGAAACAAAUGAUCAAAUCCUAUCAUAUCCUUUGGAAUUUCUAUGGAAUGGAUAAUUCUAAAGAGAUUUUCUUGAGGAAAUUUAACAAGAGCUCCAACCUCUUGAAAGCUUUCCUUUUAGUCUAUCUCUUUCAUCCGAUUUUCUUCCCUUUUGCCGCGGUUCAUUCAAACGAUCAUUCCUGUGUUUUGCAAUCCUCUAUUUUACACUUGCAUUCCUAUUAGGGCCCCUUUGAUUCGCAGGAUAUGAAAAACACAGGAAUAGGAAAAACACAAUAUUUGAAAUGGUAGGAUUUUCAAAUCCUACGGGAAGAGAAAACAGAGAAAAACGUAAGAAGAUCCUUUGAUAUAGGCAUAGGGAAAACAAAGGAAUUCGCACCAGGAAGAAUUCCAAGAGGUCUUACCUCUUUUUUAGUUUCCUUUGGAAUCCACUCAUAGGAAUGCAAUCCUAUGGAAUUUAUACUUGCCUUUUCUAUAAAUCAAAGAGGCUUGAAGGAAAAAAAUCCUUUGAAAUCCCAUUCCUAAAAAAAAUCAUUUGGCAUUACUUUAAAUUAAAGAGGCUCUAGAAUCCUACGUUUUUCUUAUUCCUUCGUUUUUUCAUUCCUAAGAUUCAAAGGGAUCCUUAGUUUGUAUUCCUUCUCCAGUUUUCCCAAUUCAGCUUUCUCGUUUUUCGUGCGCACGCUUUUUAAACUAUUAAACAGUAUGUUUUAUAUUAAUUAUUUUUUUAAAAAAGCUAAUACUUAAUUAAUCAUAUGAUAAUACGAUGCAUCAUUUUGCGUGCAGCCUUAGUUUCCAUGGGGGGCAAAGUCUCUGGUCGGUCUUCCCGAUGUACGUGGUCUGGCUUCUCCAGUCUCCACUAUCGCAACUCCCAGGAUAUAAGCUUGGCCACCACGCCAUGCACAGCUACCAGCCUCAGCCAGCUGCCACCUCCGAUUCCAUCGAGCUCUCCUCCUGCCAAUGGCGCUCGUCUUCUUCUUCUUCGUCGUCUUCCACCUCGCCGUGCUGAUGGCUGCGCUCCUGCUCGCAAGCGCGCCGGCGUUCGCCACGGCCGACGAUCUGUCGGCGCUGCUGGCGUUCAGGGCGCGGGUGUCCGACCCGAGCGGCGUGCUCCGCCGCGGCAACUGGACGGCGGCCGCGCCCUACUGCGGCUGGCUCGGCGUCACCUGCGGCGGCCACCGCCACCCGCUGCGCGUCACGGCGCUGGAGCUGCCCGGCGUGCAGCUCGCCGGCUCGCUGGCCCCCGAGCUCGGCGAGCUCACCUUCCUCUCCACCCUCAACCUCAGCGACGCCCGGCUCUCGGGCCCGAUCCCUGAUGGCAUCGGCAACCUGCCACGCCUCCUGUCUCUCGAUCUCUCCAGCAACCGCCUCUCAGGUAAUCUCCCCUCGUCUCUCGGCAACCUCACCGUGCUUGAAAUCCUCGACCUUGACUCGAACAACCUCACCGGUGAAAUCCCUCCCGACCUGCACAAUCUGAAGAACAUUAUGUACCUUGGAUUAAGCAGAAACGAGUUGAGCGGGCAGAUACCACGUGGCAUGUUCAAUGGCACGUCACAGCUUGUUUUCUUGAGCCUUGCUUACAACAAACUAACAGGGAGCAUUCCUGGUGCUAUUGGUUUCUUGCCAAACAUUCAGGUGCUUGUACUGUCAGGGAACCAGCUUUCAGGGCCAAUACCUGCAUCGCUGUUUAACAUGUCCAGCUUGGUACGGAUGUACCUGGGCAAGAACAAUCUCUCUGGCUCUAUCCCAAACAACGGAAGCUUCAACCUUCCCAUGCUGCAAACAGUUAAUCUCAACACAAACCAUUUAACUGGCAUAGUGCCUCAAGGCUUUGGGGCAUGCAAGAACCUGCAAGAGUUCAUUCUAUUCAGCAAUGGCUUCACCGGUGGCAUACCACCGUGGCUGGCUUCUAUGCCUCAGUUGGUGAAUGUCUCCUUGGGUGGCAAUGACCUUUCUGGUGAAAUCCCUGCCAGCUUGGGCAACCUUACAGGUCUCACCCAUCUGGAUUUCACCAGGAGUAAUCUGCAUGGGAAGAUACCACCGGAGCUGGGACAGCUGACACAGCUGCGGUGGCUGAACCUUGAGAUGAAUAACCUGACCGGUAGCAUCCCAGCCUCUAUCAGAAACAUGUCUAUGAUCUCUAUCCUUGACAUAUCCUUUAACUCAUUGACUGGAUCUGUGCCAAGGCCAAUAUUUGGUCCAGCCCUUAGUGAACUCUACAUUGACGAGAAUAAGCUCAGUGGGGAUGUCGAUUUCAUGGCUGACCUGUCAGGUUGCAAGAGCCUUAAGUAUCUUGUGAUGAACACAAACUACUUCACUGGUAGCAUCCCAAGUUCUAUUGGCAACCUUUCCUCCCUCCAGAUCUUUCGAGCAUUCAAGAACCAAAUUACUGGAAAUAUCCCUGAUAUGACAAAUAAGAGCAACAUGUUGUUCAUGGAUCUUCGCAACAACCGAUUUACCGGGGAAAUUCCGGUAUCAAUUACAGAGAUGAAGGAUCUCGAAAUGAUUGAUUUUUCUUCUAAUGAGUUGGUUGGGACCAUUCCUGCAAAUAUUGGCAAAUCAAAUCUGUUUGCCCUAGGCCUUGCCUACAACAAGCUCCAUGGCCCCAUACCUGAUAGCAUUAGUAAUCUAAGUCGGCUACAAACCUUAGAACUAUCAAAUAAUCAGCUCACUUCAGCAGUACCGAUGGGCCUAUGGGGCCUUCAAAAUAUCGUGGGUCUUGAUCUGGCUGGAAAUGCUUUGACUGGCUCUUUGCCAGAAGUUGAAAAUCUGAAAGCAACAACAUUUAUGAACCUUUCUUCCAAUCGAUUUUCUGGUAAUUUACCAGCCUCACUUGAACUAUUUAGCACACUGACCUACUUAGACCUUUCAUAUAACUCCUUCUCUGGAACAAUUCCAAAGUCCUUUGCAAAUCUUAGUCCUCUCACUACCCUGAAUCUCUCUUUCAAUAGAUUGGAUGGGCAAAUCCCAAAUGGUGGUGUGUUCUCAAACAUUACCCUCCAAUCUUUGAGAGGGAACACAGCACUCUGUGGUCUUCCACGCCUUGGUUUCCCCCAUUGCAAAAAUGACCAUCCUCUUCAGGGUAAAAAAUCAAGGCUUCUAAAAGUAGUUCUUAUUCCAAGCAUAUUGGCUACUGGAAUAAUAGCAAUCUGCUUGCUGUUUUCGAUUAAAUUUUGCACUGGCAAGAAACUGAAGGGCCUGCCGAUUACUAUGAGUUUGGAGUCAAACAACAACCAUAGGGCUAUCUCCUACUAUGAGCUGGUUCGUGCCACAAACAACUUCAAUAGUGAUCACCUACUAGGAGCUGGAAGCUUUGGCAAAGUCUUCAAGGGCAAUCUAGACGAUGAGCAGAUCGUCGCGAUAAAAGUCCUCAACAUGGACAUGGAAAGAGCUACCAUGAGUUUUGAAGUCGAGUGCCGUGCACUUCGCAUGGCUCGGCACCGAAACUUGGUGAGGAUACUCACCACCUGUUCGAAUCUGGACUUCAAGGCGUUGGUGCUGCAGUACAUGCCCAAUGGGAGCCUGGACGAAUGGUUGCUGUACAGUGACAGGCAUUGCCUUGGAUUGAUGCAGAGGGUGAGCAUCAUGUUGGAUGCGGCGCUCGCUAUGGCUUACCUACACCAUGAGCACUUUGAGGUAGUCCUCCACUGUGAUCUGAAGCCAAGCAACGUGCUGCUUGACGCAGACAUGACGGCUUGCAUCGCAGACUUUGGAAUUGCAAGGUUAUUGCUAGGAGAGGACACCUCCAUAUUCUCCAGGAGCAUGCCAGGAACAAUCGGAUACAUGGCACCAGGUAAUCACUUGUCGAUUUACCGUUCAUCUUUGGUUCCACUGAAAUCGCCAAUUUCUGCAGAUCCCCCUUGAUCUUUGUUUACCAUGAACAUCACAGAGUACGGGUCGACAGGAAAAGCAUCGCGAAAGAGCGACGUGUUCAGCUACGGGGUCAUGCUCCUGGAGGUCUUCACGGGGAAGAAGCCAACCGACGCCAUGUUCGUCGGAGAGCUGAGCUUGAGGGAGUGGGUCAACCGAGCGCUCCCGUCAAGGCUCGCCGACGUCGUACAUCCUGGCAUCUCUCUGUAUGACGACACGGUGAGCAGCGAUGAUGCCCAAGGUGAAUCAACCGGCAGCAGGAGCUGCUUAGCGCAGCUGCUGGAUUUGGGGCUGCAGUGUACCAGAGACUUGCCUGAGGACAGGGUGACGAUGAAGGAUGUGACUGUGAAACUGCAGCGGAUCAAGGAGGUAUUACAAGCCUAGAUAGUCUUGUCCUGCAGCCCUGCAGAUGAUAACCCAAAGCUGGCAAGGCCAUGUGUCAUCUGUGGUGGUUGCAAAUGCUGAACUGCAUCAUGAAAGCUGUAGCCUUCCUUGAAAAGAUACCUGUAACAGUAGUUGAGUUGCAGGUUUGCAGCCAUCUAACAAAAAGUAAUAUACUACGUGUUAGAGAGUUGUUUAGGGCUUAAUCCUCCAAUAACCUGCCAAAGAACGCAAUGAAUAUUUCUACUAGUUUUCAAAGGACCACUGAAAAAUUUCAGUUAACCCAACAAUAUAUGAGAGGUCCACGAUUCCAUCAUGAUGCCCACAGCCCACCCUCCAUCGUACAGAAAAUAAGCAAACAAUGCAAGCAAGCAAUUAAAUACUUAAUGGAAGGGAAGUUGUGCACGUACAGCUUCUCUUGUAUUCAAUGUACUACUAUCAAUUAUCAGUGAUCAUGACGCUGUUUGAUGGCUCCAUGGAUAUGGAUAGUCUAGCAUGGGGAAGAGCGACUAUCAUCAACUUGCUUCGCUGAACCUGACCGCCUUCAAUAAUAGACAUGUGAAAUGGCGGUUGGUGUGAAAUGGUGCGUUGGUGAGCACGAUUCAGAGCAUAGUCUACUCAGGAUUGACCAAACACAUGGAAAGUGUUGCUUCUCUUAGACUCUUAGUCAACUGCUGAAUAAGGGUUAAGGGUGUGUUUAGUUGGGGAAAAGGGAAUUUUUGGAUGUCACAUCGGACGUUUGACCGGAUGUCGGAAGGGGAUUUCGGAACCGCAAGACGAAUCUUUUAAGACUAAUUAAGCCGUCAUUAGCACAUGUGGGUUACUGUAGCACUUAUGGCUAAUCACGGACUAAUUAGGCUUAAAAGAUUCGUCUCGCGAUUUCCCCCAUAAUUGUGCAAUUAGUUUUUCUUUUAAUCUAUAUUUAAUGUUUUAUGCAUAUGUCCAAAGAUUCGAUGUGAUGUUUUUGGAAAAAAAAUUUUGGGUAACUAGACGGGCCCUAAUAAGAAAUGGAUCUCUAGGAUAGAAGCGCUUCAGUAUUUUUACAGUUCUUUGAUACCUGAAACAACAGCCAGGAACAAACUUUUAAAAAGAUUGUCCUGAAAAAAAUCACACCAGAUGUUUCAUUCGUGAAAAGAAAAGGCAUAAGUAAUGGUGCCAAGCAUACCAAGAUAGUAUCAAAGAUGGAAAUGGCAUAUGAAUAUACUUGGAGUUUGCUUUCAAAAAAAUAUACUUGGAGUUAGAUUAUCUCCCAGUUUUUAUUUAAAAAAAAAUCUAGCUAGCGUAGAACGACUAUUUAAGUGAUUUUCUGAAAAAAAAAUUAAACCAGAUGUUUUAUUCUUGGAAAAUCAAACAAACAUAAGUACUGGCGCCAAGCAUGAAGCAUCAAAGUUGGCUGUGUACACCCAUGUUGGUGUAGAGACCGGGUUUUAAUCUAUUAUUAAAAACAGAACAGAAAAAAAACGAAGCUAUCAAUGACGGAAAUGACAUACUCCUACAGCUUUGCUCCUUGACUUCUGGAAGAGGUUGUUUCUUGGAAGGAAUUCAUUUUUUUCCUUCUUUCUAUUUUGAAACUUUGAAGUGUACCAAGAAACUGCAGUGUACAACCAGCUCUGAAAAAUGAAAGUUUGUUUUCAAACGAAAAAGUCUAAAACGCUUUCUUCCUUUCACACAUAUUUCCACUAAAAAAAACAACUUUUUGACCAUUCAACACAAUGCACAUGUCAAUUGCACAUCCCACACGGCCACACUUCCAAUAAAACCACCAAUAGAACCAGCACACUGCUCAUGCGUAAUUGUGUAUCCUCAUCAUCAACCUUCAUUCCUUCACUACCAUGGCUCUUCUCUGCAUCAGCAUGGUGCUCCUCAUCCUAUUGGCACCAUGCGCCACUUCACUCACCCCUCCAUACAACAACACAGACCUCGCUGCACUGCUCGACUUCAAGGAGCAAGUCAAGGACCCUAAUGGCAUCCUUGCCAGCAAUUGGACUGCCAGUGCACCCUUCUGCUCAUGGAUUGGGGUCUCAUGCGACAGCAGCGGGAAGUGGGUCACUGGGCUUGAGUUUGAAGACAUGGCACUUGAAGGAACCAUCAGCCCGCAGAUUGGCAAUCUCUCCUUCCUCUCCAGCCUUGUACUCAGCAACACCACCCUCAUCGGACCUGUGCCAACCGAGCUCGAUAGGCUGCCCCGACUGCAAACUCUUGUUCUUUCAUACAACAGCCUGUCAGGUACCAUCCCCUCCAUCCUUGGCAACCUCACAAGGCUCGAGUCUCUUUAUCUUAAUAGCAACAAAUUCUUUGGGGGGAUUCCACAAGAGUUGGCAAAUCUUAACAAUCUUCAGAUAUUAAGAUUGUCAGAUAACGACUUGAGCGGACCAAUACCACAAGGCCUGUUCAAUAACACACCCAACCUGAGUAGGAUACAACUCGGGUCAAAUAGGCUAACAGGAGCAAUUCCUGGUAGCGUUGGAUCAUUGUCGAAGCUGGAGAUGCUAGUCCUAGAAAAUAAUCUUCUCUCAGGCUCCAUGCCUGCUGCUAUCUUCAAUAUGUCCUACCUGCAAGCCAUAGCAGUCACACGGAACAAUCUCAGAGGUCCGAUUCCUGGAAACGAGAGCUUUCACCUCCCUAUGUUGGAAUUUUUCUCUCUCGGUGAAAAUUGGUUCGAUGGACCUAUCCCAUCGGGCCCUUCCAAAUGUCAAAACCUUGAUUUGUUCUCCCUAGCUGUAAAUAAUUUCACAGGUUCUGUGCCAUCAUGGCUGGCGACAAUGCCAAACCUCACUGCAAUUUACUUGUCAACCAACGAGCUCACUGGAAAGAUCCCAGUUGAACUGAGCAAUCAUACUGGGCUGCUUGCUUUGGACCUUAGCGAGAACAAUCUAGAGGGAGAAAUACCACCAGAGUUUGGACAGCUGAGAAACCUCAGGUAUAUAAGCUUUGCAAACAACCAAAUAACAGGUACCAUUCCCGAAUCUAUAGGCAAUCUCUGACCUCACCACAAUAGAUUUGUUCGUAAACGGAUUAACUGGAUCGGUGCCAAUGUCAUUUGGGAACUUGUGGAAUCUUCGUGACAUCUAUGUUGAUGGGAACCAGCUCAGUGGGAACCUUGAAUUCCUAGCUGCAUUAUCAAAUUGCAGUAAUCUGAACACAAUUGGCAUGUCAUACAAUAGAUUUGAAGGGAGUUUACUACCCUGUGUUGGAAACCUUAGCACACUGAUCGAAAUUUUUGUAGCAGACAACAAUAGGAUCACUGGAAGCAUCCCCAGUACAUUGGCUAAGCUUACCAACCUACUGAUGCUAUCUCUCAGAGGAAACCAGCUAAGCGGGAUGAUCCCCACGCAGAUCACAUCAAUGAACAACCUCCAAGAACUCAAUCUCUCCAACAACACCUUGUCUGGCACCAUCCCAGUAGAAAUCACUGGAUUAACAAGUCUAGUUAAGCUGAAUCUUGCUAACAAUCAACUUGUCAGUCCUAUUCCAAGUACCAUCGGUAGCCUAAACCAGUUACAAGUUGUGGUAUUGUCCCAAAACUCGUUGUCUUCAACAAUACCAAUUAGUUUGUGGCAUCUUCAGAAACUUAUUGAGCUUGAUUUAUCACAGAACUCUUUGAGUGGUUCUCUACCUGCUGAUGUUGGAAAACUGACAGCAAUUACUAAGAUGGAUCUAUCAAGAAACCAGCUAUCAGGUGAUAUACCAUUUUCUUUUGGUGAACUCCAGAUGAUGAUCUAUAUGAAUCUAUCCAGUAAUCUACUCCAAGGUUCAAUACCAGAUUCAGUUGGCAAGUUACUAAGUAUUGAGGAGUUAGACCUUUCCUCCAAUGUGCUUUCGGGUGUCAUCCCAAAGUCCUUGGCCAAUCUCACUUAUCUUGCCAAUUUGAACCUAUCUUUCAAUAGACUGGAGGGUCAGAUACCAGAAGGAGGUGUGUUCUCAAACAUCACUGUCAAGUCAUUGAUGGGAAACAAGGCACUAUGUGGCCUUCCGAGCCAAGGAAUAGAAUCAUGCCAGAGCAAAACUCACUCAAGGUCAAUACAACGGCUACUAAAAUUCAUAUUACCUGCAGUUGUGGCAUUUUUUAUUUUAGCAUUUUGCUUGUGUAUGUUGGUAAGAAGGAAAAUGAAUAAGCCAGGAAAGAUGCCACUACCCUCAGAUGCAGACUUGCUGAAUUACCAGUUAAUCUCAUACCAUGAACUUGUCCGUGCAACAAGAAACUUCAGUGAUGAUAACCUGCUAGGGAGUGGAAGCUUUGGUAAAGUCUUCAAAGGCCAGCUAGAUGAUGAGUCCAUUGUCACAAUAAAGGUCCUAAACAUGCAACAGGAAGUAGCUUCCAAAAGCUUUGACACAGAGUGCCGCGUGUUACGAAUGGCUCAUCACCGCAACUUGGUGAGGAUUGUUAGCACUUGCUCUAAUCUUGACUUCAAAGCACUAGUUCUUGAGUAUAUGCCCAAUGGAAGUUUGGAUAAUUGGUUGUACUCAAAUGAUGGGCUGCACCUCAGUUUCAUCCAAAGGCUCAGUGUCAUGCUGGAUGUUGCGAUGGCAAUGGAGUAUCUACACCACCAUCACUUUGAGGUUGUCCUGCAUUUUGAUUUAAAGCCAAGCAAUAUUUUGCUUGACAAUGAUAUGGUUGCACAUGUUGCCGACUUCGGAAUUUCCAAGUUGCUGUUUGGAGAUGACAACUCUAUCACAUUAACGAGUAUGCCAGGCACUGUAGGAUACAUGGCACCAGGUGAUAACCCUUGUAAAGUCUGUACAAUCUGUAUUCUUGUUUCAUCUAACUUAAGCUGACCAGUUCUCUUUUGACAUGGUGCAAACAGAGUUAGGAUCAACAGGAAAAGCAUCACGCAGAAGUGACGUAUACAGCUACGGAAUUGUCCUCCUCGAAGUCUUCACAAGGAAAAAACCAACUGAUCCAAUGUUCGUCAAUGAGUUGACCUUCAGGCAAUGGAUUAGUCAAGCAUUCCCAUAUGAGCUCUCAAAUGUCGCCGACUGUAGUCUACAACAAGAUGGUCAUACGGGUGGUACUGAGGAUUCGAGUAAGCUAUCUGAGGAUUCAAUCAUCUUGAAUAUCUGUCUAGCAUCCAUAAUUGAGUUGGGCUUGCUUUGCUCAAGAGAUGCACCUGAUGACAGAGUUCCAAUGAAUGAAGUAGUUAUCAAGUUAAACAAGAUCAAGUCAAAUUACUACUCUCUGUGGAAGCAAUGGAGCUCACCUGGUGAAAUAUCCUGAAAUACCCUCUUUAGUGCAUCUGGAAACUAAUCAAAAUGGUUCAGAAGAAAAGAACUCUGAGGAAUUAUAAUAGGUUUUUACAAUUGACAAGUCCAUAUAAAAGGCUUUAUGUAAGUAGUAUCAGUUGCAAAUUGCAAAUCUGAGCCACACGCUUGUAAUGAAUCAAAAGAGAGGAAUAGACAUAUCUUUUCAUUAAAUGCAAAUCACUGCAGAACUAUGGAUAGUGCAGGAGGAGGUUGAGGCUCUGUUGAAGGCUUGAGAAGAUGGUUUGCAGCAAAAAUGCUCUGAUCAACUAAUCAACUAGCAAAAGGUGACAUAUAAAUGCUUUCGCAUACAGGGUCAGGUUAUGCCACAGAGCAAAGCUAGGUAGCUUUUGAAUUUUGGCUUAGGCCCUGUUAGUUCCCACACAAAAACUUUUCACCCUGUCACAUCGAAUGUUUGGACACAUACAUGGAGUAUUAAAUAUAGACAAAAAAACUAAUUACACAGAUUGCGUGUAAAUUGCGAGACAAAUCUUUUAAGUCUAUUGCUCCAUUAUUUGAUAAUGUGGUGCUACAGUAAACAUUUUCUAAUGGCUGAUUAAUUAGGCUUAAAAAAAUCGUCUCGCAGCUUACAGACAUAAUCUGUAAUUUGUUUUGUUAUUAGUCUACGUUUAAUACUUCAAAUGUGUGUCCGUAUAUCCGAUGUGACACGCCAAAACUUUUCACCUCUGGAUCUAAACACAGCCUUACUUUUACCUGCUUAGAGUAGUCUUCAUAGUCCCAUCUUUCCUUGAUGAACUGAUGAGUAGAGCUCAAGUCUUACUAUUUGAAAAAACAUGUCACAAUAUCACUGACAACAUAUUCUGGUAUUACUUUGAGCAGCAACUGAAAAGAAGAAUCACCAAUACUAUGAGACAUGAAUUUCUCCUUGAAACAUACAGAACGUUAACCUUAUCAUGAAAUAAUCAAAACGGCAUAAUGCUAACUUUUUUUAAACAGAGGACAAGUACUGCUUUCAUUUUUCAUCAAGAAAGAAAAUUCAUACAUUCUGUGAUAAAGCUAGUAGUGCCCAGCCUAUUUGCAGCUUCUUUUCUUUUCUUUCAGAAGCUGAACUAGUGUGGUACUACUCGAAAGGCAGGAAAUAAAUAGCUAAUGCCUAUGCGUUCAAUCAGGUCUUGCCGUGCGAGAUUAGCUCUGAGAUAAAAACAGGCCACGCACAACUUAAGGUAGCAAAUCAUGAUUAUCUAAGAGGGAAAUACUUGAACCAUCCAUCACUUUAGAAUAGGGUGUUCUAGAUGCAGGAAGUAAUAUGAACUUUAGGACAACAUGUACUGAUGUACAGUUUAAAGCAUAUUAUCACUAGAAUACUAGAUUAGGGAAAUUCUCCACAAAAAGCAAGCCCGGGAGGAGGCGAAGAACGUACCUACCAGCAUUCCCGAAUCCCAGUCCCCUAGUUACUGAUCAAGGCAAGGAAGCAUUCUCGGCGACCAAAUACCUAGCCCUCACUCGGGGUAGCAGCCCCCGUCACAGGCAUUGCCGAUGCGCCCGCUAAUCUGCGGAGCGGCGCGGAUGCGGGCCGGGAGCGUCUUGCGGAGAGAAGCCGACAAAGCAGCACCUCACGACGGCGAAAAACGCCGCCCCGCGCCGUCGCCGCCGGCCAUGGCCACCAUCUUCACUGGCUUUUCCCCUCUCUCGCGCGGCGUGAGAAGGAAAGCAUAGUACUCCUAACGGGCUAUGGG
This 60499-nucleotide long non-coding RNA is filed under the name Oryza sativa (Asian cultivated rice). RNAcentral's name for it is "long non-coding RNA (OSAT_LNC001257)". The stretch from base 12580 to 12787 matches the Rfam family "MIR812 microRNA precursor family". Lineage: Eukaryota; Viridiplantae; Streptophyta; Magnoliopsida; Poales; Poaceae. The record is from RNAcentral.